UCCUCUUCUUCUCCUUUCUUCUUCUUCUUAUUUUCCUUUUUCCUCUCAUUCUUUUUCUUCUUCUUCCUUUCCUAGCUAGAUAUAUAAAACUUUUCUAAAAAUGUAAGUUUUGCAUAUAUAAAACUUUUUCUUCUUCCUUCUUCUUCCUUCUAUUCCUUCUUCCUAAAUAUAUAAAACUUUUCUAAAAAUGAAACUAACCUAAAAUGUACUAAAUCAGAGAACAUAUAUAGAUAAAACUUUUCUAAAAAUCUAACUUUUGCAUAUAUGUAUUUUUAAGACAUCAUUACAAAUGAAAAAUACAUACAUACAUACAAAAAACAUGUAAAAAAUACAUACAUACAUAUAUGAACAUACAUAAAAAAAUACAUAUAUCUAAAAAAUACAUACAUACAUAUAUGAAAAUCUAAAAACAUGUAAAAAAAUAGCACGGCGGCGGGGCAGUGGUUUAUAAGCCCCACUGCCGCUCCCCUCUCGAGCUCCUCUCCAUUGCAGGCUUACGGGCCUAAUUGUCACUGCUAUGCCUGAUGGGCCUACUGGGCCUUCUGCGGGCCUGAAUCCUGGCCCAUCGAUGGGUUUCUAGUCGUAUUCAGGCCGUGGUGGCCCAGUAGGUGGCAUAAUUUUUAUUUUUUGCCUUUUUUUUCUUUUUUGCUUUAUUUAUUUUGUUUUGUUUCUACUUACAACAAAAAACUUAUUUAUUUUAUUUUAUUUUGUUUCUAAUUACUUAUUUAUUUUACUUUAUGAUAAUUCUUUUUGCUAUGAAAGUUUCUAACAAAAAAGUUCUUUAUGAAAAUUCUUUUUGCUUUCCAUGAUUUUGAACAGAAAAUACUUCGAUAAUUUUAGUUGCAUCAAUUUUAUAUAAUUUUAGUUUCAAUAAUACUAGAGGUUGCUUAUAAUGUUUUGAACAGAAAAUACUUUGAUAAUUUUAGUUUCAUAAAUUUUAUUUAUGUUAUUAAAGUUUAUUUUAUUUUGUUUGUACUUAUAUAUUUUAUUAAAGUUUAUAUUAUUUUGUUUCUAUUUACUUAUUUAUUUUAUUUAUUAUUUUUCAUGCACCAUUUUUCAUGCAUUUACUGGUUAUUUUGAGCUAUAAGACCCUAAAAUUGAAAAGCAUUUCAAAUGAACUCUGAAAAGGUUGAAAGUUGGCAUGGUAUCAUCAUUUCAUCCACAUAGCAUGUGCAAGAAAGUUGAGAGGGUUACGGCAAAAAUUGGAUGCACUUCCUGUACAAAACGGACAAUCUCUUUCGAAGUAUCAGGAUUUCAUACGGAAACUCGUCUGUUACAAAGGGAUUUCAUUUUUUAAAACUUAUUUGAACUCCUGACUUUUUGUGUGUUCAAAAUGCACCAUUCAAAGCCACAUCAUCAAUUUUCAACCCUUUCUGACUUCAUUUCUUUUUUUCAUGCAUUUAUUGAUUAUUUUGAGCUAUAAGACCCUGAAAUUGAAAAGCAUUUCAAAUGAACUCUAAAAUGGUUGAAAGUUGGCAUGGUAUCAUCAUUUCAUCCACAUAGCAUGUGCAAGAAAGUUGAGAGGGUUACGGCAAAAACUGGAUGCACUUCGUGUACAAAACGGACAAUGGUAUCAUACUCGUCUGUUACAAAGUUGGCAUGGUAUCAUCAUAAUGGUUGCGGGAGAAAGUCUUCACUUUUUCUUCGCUUGUGUCAUUUGCUUAUUGCGCCGUAACCAAGGAUAAUCUUCAUGGUUUAUCAGGAUGCUUGGUUCAGCCUUGACUUUGAAGGGAGGAAUUUCAUGAAACUUUUCAUAUUCUUCAGAUAUGUCUGUCUUGCCCUCCACUCCCACGAUGUCCCUUUUUCCUGAAAGAACUAUGUGGCGCUUUGGCUCAUCGUAUGAUGUAUUCGCUUCCUUAUCUUUUCUUUUUCUUGGUUUGGUAGACAUGUCCUUCACAUAGAUAACUUGUGCCACAUCAUUGGCUAGGACGAACGGUUCGUCAGUGUACCCAAGAUUUUUCAGAUCCACUGUUGUCAUUCCGUACUGUGGGUCUACCUGUACCCCGCCUCCUGACAGAUUGACCCAUUUGCACUUAAACAAAGGGACCUUAAAAUCAUGUCCGUAGUCAAGUUCCCAUAUGUCCACUAUGUAACCAUAAUAUGUGUCCUUUCCACUCUCGGUUGCUGCAUCAAAGCGGGCACCGCUGUUUUGGUUGGUGCUCUUUUGAUCUUGGGCGAUCGUGUAAAAUGUAUUCCCAUUUAUCUCGUAUCCUUUGUAAGUCAAUACAGUCAAAGAUGGUCCCCUGGACAACGAGUACAGCUCAUCACAAACAGUGUUGUCACCUCUGAGACGUGUUUCCAACCAACUGCUGAAAGUCCUGAUGUGUUCACAUGUAAUCCAGUCGUCGCACUGCCCCGGGUGUUUGGAGCGCAGACUGUUCUUGUGUUCAUCGACAUACGGGGUCACCAAGGUAGAGUUUUGUAGAACUGUGUAGUGUGCUUGAGACCAAGAAUGCCCGUCCCUGCAUAUUAUUGAGUCCGCUCCUAGCGUGUCUUUUCCAGUCAGUCUCCCCUCAUACCGCGAUUUAGGGAGACCUAUCUUCUUAAGGCCAGGAAUGAAGUCAACACAAAACCCAAUGACAUCCUCUGUUUGAUGGCCCAUGGAGAUGCUUCCUUCUGGCCUAGCGCGGUUACGGACAUAUUUCUUUAGGACUCCCAUGAACCUCUCAAAGGGGAACAUAUUGUGUAGAAAUACGGGCCUCAGAAUGUCAAUCUCGUCGACUAGUUGAACUAGGACGUGCGCCAUGAUAUUGAGGAAGGAUGGUGGGAACACCAGCUCAAAACUGACAAGACAUUGCGCCACAUCACUCCUUAGCCUUGGUAUGAUUUCUGGCUCGAUUACCUUCUGAGAGAUUGCAUUGAGGAAUGCACAUAGCUUCACAAUGGCUAAUCAGACGUUUUCUGGUAGAAGCCCCCUCAAUGCAACCGGAAGCAGUUGCGUCAUAAUCAUGUGGCAGUCAUGAGACUUUAGGUUCUGGAACUUUUUCUCUGGCAUAUUUAUUAUUCCCUUUAUAUUCGACGAGAAGCCAGUCGGGACCUUCAUACUGAGCGGGAAUUCAAAGAAGAUUUCUUUCUCUUCUUUCGUAAGAGCGUAGCUGGCAGGACCUUCAUACUGCUUCGGAGGCAUGCCGUGUUUUUCGUGCAAACGUUGCAGGUCCUCCCGUGCCUCAGGUGUAUCUUUUGUCUUCCCAUACACGCCCAAGAAGCCUAGCAGGUUCACGCAAAGGUUCUUCGUCAUGUGGAUCACGUCGAUUGAAGAGCGAACCUCUAGGUCUUUCCAGUAGGGUAGGUCCCAAAAUAUAGAUUUCUUCUUCCACAUGGGUGCGUGUCCCUCAGCGUCAUUCGGAACAGCUAGUCCGCCGGGACCCUUUCCAAAGAUUACGUGUAAAUCAUUGACCAUAGCAAGUACGUGAUCACCGGUACGCAUGGCGGGCUUCUUCCGGUGAUCUGCCUCGCCUUUGAAAUGCUUGCCUUUCUUUCGACAUUGAUGGUUGGUCGGAAGAAAUCGACGAUGGCCCAGGUACACAUUCUUCCUGCAUUUGUCCAGGUAUAUAGUUUCAGUGUCAUCUAAACAGUGCGUGCAUGUGUGGUAUCCCUUGUUUGUCUGUCCUGAAAGGUUACUGAGAGCGGGCCAAUCGUUGAUGGUUACAAACAGCAAUGCGUGCAGGUUAAAUUCCUCCUGUUUGUGCUCAUCCCAUGUACGUACACCAUUUCCAUUCCACAGCUGUAAAAGUUCUUCAACUAAUGGCCUUAGCUACACAUCAAUGUCGUUGCCGGGUUGCUUACGACCUUGGAUGAGAACUAGCAUCAUAAUGAACUUUCGCUUCAUGCACAUCCAAGGAGGAAGGUUAUACAUACAUAGAGUCACGGGCCAGGUGCUGUGAUUGCUGCUCUGCUCCCCGAAAGGAUUAAUGCCAUCCGCGCUUAAACCAAACCAUACGUUCCUUGGGUCAGCUGCAAACUCAGUCCAGUACUUUCUCUCGAUUUUUCUCCACUGCGACCCGUCAGCGGGUGCUCUCAACUUCCCGUCUUUCUUACGGUCCUCACUGUGCCAUCGCAUCAACUUGGCAUACUCUUCGUUUCUGAACAGACGUUUCAACCGUGGUAUUAUAGGAGCAUACCACAUCACCUUCGCAGGAACCCUCUUCCUGGGGGGCUCGCUGUCAACAUCACCAGGGUCAUCUCGUCUGAUCUUAUACCGCAAUGCACCGCAUACCGGGCAUGCGUUCAGAUCCUUGUACGCACCGCGGUAGAGGAUGCAGUCAUUAGGGCAUGCAUGUAUCUUCUGCACCUCCAAUCCUAGAGGGCAUACGGCCUUCUUUGCUGCGUAUGUACUGUCAGGCAAUUCGUUAUCCUUUGGAAGAUUAUUCUUCAAUAUUUUCAAUAGCUUCUCAAAUCCUUUGUCAGGCACAGCAUUCUCUGCCUUCCACUGCAGCAAUUCCAGUACGGUACCGAGCUUUGUGUUGCCAUCUUCGCAAUUGGGGUACAACCCUUUUUUGUGAUCCUCUAACAUGCGAUCGAACUUCAGCUUCUCCUUUUGACUUCCGCAUUGCGUCCUUGCAUCGACAAUGACCCGGCGGAGAUCAUCAUCAUCGGGCACUGGUUCUUCUUGAUCUUCAGCAGCUUCCCCCGUUGCAGCAUCAUUGGGCACAUCAUCUGGUUCCUCUUGAUCUUCAGCAGCUUCCCCCGUUGCAACAUCACCGUAUUCAGGGGGCACAUAGUUGUCAUCGUCCUCUUCUUCUUCGCCGUCUUCCAUCAUAACCCCUAUUUCUCCGUGCCUCGUCCAAACAUUAUUGUGUGGCAUGAAACCCUUGUAAAGCAGGUGGGUGUGAAGGAUUUUCCGGUCAGAGUAAGACUUCGUAUUCACACAUUUAGGGCAUGGACAACACAUAAAACCAUUCUGCUUGUUUGCCUCAGCCACUUCGAGAAAAUCAUGCACGCCCUUAAUGUACUCGGAGGUGUGUCUGUCACCGUACAUCCAUUGCCGGUUCAUCUGCGUGCAUUAUAUAUAAUUAAGUGUGUCAAAAACCAUUACAGAACAUCAUGAAUAGAUAAUUAAGUGACCAAAUUAAUAGAAGUUCACCAUCACAUUAAAACCAAAGUACAUACAUAGUUCUCAUCUAACAACAUAUAGCUCUCCAGAGCAUCUAAUUCAUUAAACCAUACAUUGAAACUAUGUAAAACAUUUCAAUACGAAGACAAAUGCGAUCAUAAUCGCAACAAAGGUAACAAUUGAUCCAACGGCAUAAUGAUACCAAGCCUCGGUAUGAAUGGCAUAUUUUCUAAUCUUUCUAAUCUUCAAGCGCAUUGCAUCCAUCUUGAUCUUGUGAUCAUCGACGACAUCCGCAACAUGCAACUCCAAUAUCAUCUUCUCCUCCUCAAUUUUUUUAUUUUUUCCUUCAAGAAAUUGCUUUCUUCUUCAACUAAAUUUAACCUCUCGACAAUAGGGUCGGUUGGAAUUUCCGGUUCACAUACCUCCUAGAUAAAUAAAAUCUAUGUCACGUUGGUCGGCAUAAUUUUCAUAAACAAUAAAUGAACCAAUAGUUAUAAAGAUAAUAUAUACCACAUCCGAAUCAUAGACAGGACGAGGGCCGACGGGGGCGGAUACCAAAACCAUCCCACUAUAUAAUAACAAGCAAUAAAAUAGUAAGAAAAUUAGACAAGUAUCUAUCUAAAGUAAGAAUUUUUUUCUUUCAGAAAGAAGAUAAGAACAAGAGGCUCACCACGGUGGUGCCGGCGACGAGAUCGGCGCGGGCGAUCGACGGCGGUGAAGACGGGAAUGGGACGUGACGGGCCGCUAAACCUAGACAAAUCUCGAGGAAAAUGGAGCUUUGAGGUCGAGCUUCGAGAGGAGAAAGCUUAACUAGUGUGGCUCGGGCAUCUCAUCGAACACCUCAUGUGCAUAGGAGGUGAGCUAGAGCACCACAAAGCCCUCCCCUCGCCGGCCAGAGAAAAACAGAGCACUGGAGUGCUCUGCUCGCGGGCGAGGUGCAUAUAUAGGCACCUCAUUGGUCCCGGUUCGUGGCAUGAACCGGGACUAAAGGGCAUCCUGUGGUCCCGGUUCAAGCCACCAACCGGGACCAAUGGUGGUGGGCCAGGAGCGAGGCCCAUUGGUCCUGGUUCGUCCCACCAACCAGGACCAAAGGGGCCAGACGAACCGGGACCAAUGCCCCCACGAGGCCCGGCAGGCCCCUGGCCUCACGAACCGGGACCAAUGCCCCCAUUGGUCCCGGUUCUGGACUGAACCGUGACUAAUGGGCUGACCCGGCCUGAACCAAAGCCCUCUUUUCUACUAGUGCGUGUAUAUCUUACUUUGCUAUGUGCAUGUGUGAAGUCUCUAGGAACAGUUUGUCCGAUUCAAAUCAUUUUCAGGGUGGAUGCUAGUUGAUGCUAAAAAAUGUGCAAUGCAUUUACUGUUACAUGUUUUGUGAGCUAAUUACCAUCUUUGUCACUCUUAUUUCUGCUAUAAGUCUUACCUAAAAUGUGUCAUUGAACUGAUUUUAUUUAGCACAUAGGUUCAACAUACCAGAACUAGUGAAGAAUCUGUAUUAGUUUAUGUAUUAAAGUUUUGCGUCACAUCUUAUAGUACUCCCUCCUAAACUAAUAUAAGAGCAUUUAGAUCACUAAAAUAGUAGUGAUCUAAACGCUGUAUUAUUAGUUUAUAGAGGGAGUAAGUCUUAAAAUGUGCUUGUUUAUGUUUCUAUUACUACCUGACCCUUUUUCAGAUAUAGCGAUGUGUACUUCAUAUAAAUGUCUUGCUUUGUUUGUGGUGCUAGUAAAAUCUAGAAAAUGAAUUACAGUACUACUAAAUUAUCUAAACCAGUAGCCCCGUUAAGCUGACAUCUUAUCUUAUGAAUGGAUUAAGGCAUGCCAAAGAAACAAACAAGCAAACAUAGAAAACUAUGCAGGUUGAAUGAAAUCAUAUUAUACUAUGCAUCUUUUUUAUGCUGUGUGAUCGAGAAGGAAGAGGAAGGAACACCAAAGACAAAUAGGCAUAGGAGGCAUCAUGAAAACUCAAAACAAAGCCUCUUUCAGUCUUAGAUGAGGAACUGAAUUCUCUAGCCUUCCAUCAUGUUCCCAUGCCCAUCGCUCUUCGGCCCUCUUUCUUACUCUCCCUGACGCACAGUGGACAACUCGUAUGACCUGAAUAUAUGCACAUAUAUGUUCUAUUUGUCGACUUCAAUGAUUUCACAAACGAAAAGGAAGAGGAAGGGGCGCAUAAGGAUAGGAAUGAGAGGCAUCAGGAAAUAUCAAACUAAAUUUCCAUCUCAACACAGGAAGUGGACCAAUAGUUAGACUUUUCCUCUAUGUUCUCAUUCCCGCUGCUCUUAGUCCUUCUCCUUCUUCCUCUUCCUAGCUUGCUUUUGUGAUCUCAUAACAAAUAUGUGCACAUAUAUAUUUUUUUACACUAAAGCAACCAAGCAACCAAAAAGAAAAGGAAGGAGUGCUUGAGAACAAUAGGAAUAGGAGACAUCUGGAAAUACCAAACUAAAUUCUCACCUCCAACAUUAGAGGUGAAAAAAAGCAAGUUAGGCUUUCCUUCAUGUUCCCAUUCCCACUGCUCUCAUGCUAUCUUUUCUUCCUCUUCUUGACUAGCCUUCUAGAUCUCAGAUUGUCAAAGUAUGUACACACAUAUUUACCGUCUCAGACAGAAAGGGAGGUGGGGAGGAAGGAGUGCUCAAGAACCAUAGGAAUUGGAGACAUUAGGAAAGCAAAAAACUAAUUAUUUGCACCUCCAACAUGAGGGGUGAAAACAAAAAAGUUACACUUCCCUCCAUGUUCCCAUUCCUAGUGCUCUUAUGUUAUCUCUUUCUUUCUCUUCCCUAUUUACUCUCAGAGCCUACAAACUCCGAAGAAAAACAGUAUCAAACAACAAGCUUGAAUUGCUGGAUGAAGUGUUUCAACAUUGAUGUAUAAAUAGAUGUGUUGUGCAUUAUGUCGAGAAUCACAGAGGGAUCAUGUAAUGAAGACACUCAGUGCAUCGAGUAUCACUAAAGUCAAGGAUAAUGGGGCACAUUGUCCUGUACUAUACGUGUAAAGCACUUCAGGGCUACAGAAGAUUCCCAGAAAGAAAAGGAUAGUUACUGAAACUUAAUCCUUGUUCAUUACCAAGGGAUAGUAUCAGAACAUAACAAUAGGUGCUAUAUAAUUUGUUCACAGUAUUUCAUUAGUAAACAUUAAGUAUUCUAUCGAGUAAAGACAAAUUGUUAGUAUUCUAGAGAGAACAGACAAAUAUUUGUUCUUGUCUAAUGUCCUUUUAGGGAACUGGUUUCAGAGGCAUGCAUGAUGCAUCCCAAAUAGAAACUCCAUCUGCACUACAUAUAGAAGGUAGCAAGUUAGCAGGGCUGGUACAUGAGGAAGCAAAAUAGAAAAUGAUGAAAAACUUGUCCAUAUAAAUAGCUUAGAUGAUCGUUCCUACUUAGAGUAAUCAACAACAUAUGUAGCUUUUGCUAUUAGGAAUGUAAUAAGUUUUGAGAUGACAUUAGCGCAAAGGCGUAAGUUGACCCAACACCCUCAAAUCAGAAAAUGGUGAUGCAUACUGAUCAAGUUAACUCCAGUUAUUCAUGAUUAGUUAACCGGGAUAUUGAAAAAAUGCAGUAGUGGGGAGUUCCUUGAAUUUGAAGUAGUGCCCUCCUACUCGUAAAUCUCCCAAUUUCACCAAGCACAUUUGCCUUUAAAUUAAUAUUCUGAAAAUGCAGGAACUACGUGUUGUUCAUCAAAUUCAACUGCACCUACUAUAAGCUACUACAGAGAGUAAGUCACAACAAUAAAAUGUGCAAUCCUCCUUAGUGCAAUUUACUUGAUAUGCACAGCUAGAGACCUUGGGGGUGAUAAAAUUUAUCCUAGGUUACCAUAAGAGCUAAGAGCAUCUCCAGCCAUUCGGCCCCCCAGGGCGCCGAAAAAGAGCCCCCUGGGGGCGAGCCGGCGCUAGAUUGGCGCGUGGGGGCGACCUAGCUCCCAGUCGUCGGCCCACCGGUCACCCCGGGUUCGGCGAUGUUGUACAAAAUAUAUGCAAACUGGGCAACUUUUGCACGAACUCUGCGAAACUUCAUUGAAAUUUAUACAUAAAACAUGCAAACUACGCCUAAACUACGCCAAACUAUGCCUAGCCGCCACCACCGCCGCCGCCGCCGUCGUCUACAUGCCGAGAAGCCUGUAGAAGCGGGUGUAGUCGCUGCCGUCGCCGUCAUCGUCAUCGUCGUCGUCAUCGUCGCGUGGCUGGCUUGGGCCGGCGACGUCCCUGCUGCAGCCCUGGCCAAGGUCGCCGAGGCGCGGUUGCGUGCUGGACGGCCCGGCCUCGUCCUCCUCGUCGCUGUCGAGGACGAUGAAGCCGCCCUCCUCGCGCCCGCGGCGCCGGGCCUGGAGCUCCGCGUACGCCCGGCGCUGGCGGCGGACCUGCUCCCGGACGUAGUCCUCCUUCGCCCACUUGAGGGUGGACUCGUCGUCGGGGGCUGCCAUCUCAACGUGCUCCAGCUUCACCGGGAGCAGCCCCGGCUCGGGCUUCGGCCGGACCAGGCGGGGAGGGCCGGGCACCCUCGUUGAUGACGAGGGCACCGCUGCGCGUGCGGCGCCCGACCGGCGUCUCCUCCGGCUCGGGCUUGACGGGGCGGAGCGUGGCCGGUGAGCUGGAACCUGACGACGAGGACGACCCCGGCUCCAUCCGCCGCGGCGUCCAAGAGCUACCACGGCGGCGAGAGAAGGACGGCCGCUGCAUGUACUCGAGGCGCGGCACGUUGCCGGUCUCGAUGUGGUCGAGGACGGCCUCGAGGGUGCGGCCUGGCAUGCCCCACCACUCGCGUCGCCCGUCGGCGUUGAAUUGGCCGAGGGGGAUGACGCCGUUGGUGGCGGCAAUCUGCUCCUCGCGGCGGCGCUGGAAGUACAUGGUCCAGAGGUUGUGGCUGUCGGUGGCGUAGCGCGGCUCGUCCCUCUGCUCCUGCGUCAGGGACGAGCGGAUGCGGGCGAUCUCAGCCCGCCGCGCCGCCCCUUCGGGCACCGGUGGCACUGGCGCGCUGUCGGCACUCAGCCUCCACGUCGCCGGCACCCGCAUGUCCGGGAGCGCCGGGUACUCGGCCUCGUAGAGUAGGCGCGCCUCCUGCUCUUGGAGGUGGCGGCGGCCGAAGCCGUUCGCCGCCGCACCGUCGCCUAGGUACCUCUCGACCAUCUUUCUCAUCAGUGGGAGGAGGGGAGUGUUGCUACCUACGCCGGAGAGGGGGGGAAUGAGGGUUGUGGCGUCCACCGGCGGGGAGGGCGCCUUUUAUAGCCAUAGCGGGGCGGCGACGGGCUGCAUGUCGGGCGACACGUGGCUGGACGCGCGUCGUGGCGCGUUCACUGCGCCGCCCGUGAGGCAUCAAUGGAGGCUGACCAGCGCGGCAGCCUUCGCAUUGAUUCCUGCGGGAACCGAGGCGAUGAGGGCGGCGAAGCGGCGUCUCGCUGACUCGGCGGGCCCAUCCGCUUUCGCGCCAAAACCGCUCGCCCCGGCGCCCCCCAGCGCGCCAGAUUCGGCCUGGGUCCGCCGGCGCCAGUUUCGGCUCAAACCGGCGAAAAUCGGGCUCCUCGGGAAAAAACGUCUGGGCCGAUUUUUGAGCGCGGGCGCGGAAAAAACGCCUGGGGAGGGCAUGUUGGGGGCGCGGCUAGAGAUGCUCUAAUAAGUGUCCAAUAUGUGCAUUCCUGUCAGAAAAGGGGACCAGGUAAUGAUUGGCUUCACAUCAUCAAGGAAACACAACAGAGCUAAAUGUUAAUAACUUAAUAUGCCCGCCGCACUAGAGCACAAAGUAAUAUUUUAAGCACGUGUAUGAAUCAACAUAAGUACUUAGAACAUGCACAUACUUACUCUAGCAAAAAGAAAUGCAUGUUCUAUAAGAAACUGAUAAGCAUAAAGUAGAAACUAGGCCAGUAGGGGGAGAAGCCCCUACUGAUUUUUAAUUAAGAGGAGAAUGUGAGACAACAGCGUCCGAGACAAUGCUCGAACCUGCGGGGGCCAGCUCACACAGCCGCUCGCUGGCCACUGAUAAGCGUAAAGUACAUGCCUAAUAUUUUUUUAAGUUCUACAGGGAACAGUAAACAAGAACAAGGACAGUUGGUUACUAUUUCUCCCUUAAACAGAAUGAAACUAUCUGAAGAGACCAUCAUAUAGACCACUGGUUGCCUAAAGGAUCCAUUAGACACCGUAAUUCUGAAAGCAGCGAAAUGUCAUCAGGUUGAGAGAGUUGAAGGACGAAAAAUAAACUCCCCCCUCCAGUUAAUGCUAUAAUAUUCAAAUGAUCUCUCUCGUUACCAUUAUCCUGUGAGCUAGCAAUGCAAGUGGGUAUCCAGUAGACACCCUGCAUUGUUGCCGGUACACAAAUCAGUGACUGGUUAAAAGAGUUGGUUGCAGAGCAGCAAGAAUGGAGAUCAGAGAGAUACUGCUUUCGUUUGCCCGCAUCAGCUCUUUGUAGUUUUGUUUGCGGGCAUCGGCUCUCUAUAGUUGGCUGCAGAAGAGCAGCUCCCGCUGCUAGAGACCCGUAAUACCAGCCCAAGUCAUGGAAUGUGUAAGAGGAGAGGCCAGAACAUCCAUCUUGAAAACUUCCUUGCCUGCAAGCCGGUGCCAUAAUGAGUCUGAGAGCCUCCGAAAUCCAAACACUCGGAUCCGUUGGUACUUAAUGCAAGAGUUUCAAUCAAGACUUCACGGACAGUAAAACGCUAGCACUUAACACCCAGGUGCUUCCUAUGGAAUGAUGUCAAUGGUUUCAAGCACAGAAUAGUGUCAAAGGUUGGCCUCCUACCUCUAGAUACUUGCAGUUUUCUAGAUCCGAGUAAAUCAUAUAAGCGCUCGCUUUGAUAACCCCUCUUUUAAUUGAUGCAUAGCCAUUGUUUUCUGUCCUUGGAAACCCAAAUCAGCAAGUGUAGGCCAUAGGAUCGGCUACUAAAGACAAUGCAAACACCCCAAAACUCUCUAAUCAUGAGCAAGAAACAGCAAGAGCUCCCCAGCAUAGCAAGAAGUUGUGAAUGAAUGUCAGAAUCGGUGCUCAUCCUAUGCAAGCUGGCAACCGGUAGGAUAUCGUAAGAAAUUUAUGUCGCUCACCGAUAGAUUGUUUCAUAUACAUGCCAACAACAACUAACAGCUAUCAUCCAUGGUCGAUGAUUCUAAUUAGCAUGUCCACAAGCCAACAUAGCAGAAACGUGAACAGAAAGGGAUUCAUCCAUGCACUUCGAACUGAAAUCCUUCCUGUUAUGCCUUGUCUGAAUACCCCGAGCCAAUGGACGUUUCCCAAAGGUGGUAGCCAGCCACAAUAGCCUUGAGCUGGCUCUUCCCUUGAGUUAACUCGGACAACGGCCACGGUCUUGGCCACGACAACCAACGCUUGGAUCUGCCUUCGUCGUGACCUGAGGUUGCAGAGGUGGAGGUCACAGCUGCACUUUGUCGAACAACAUGUGCGCCGCGGCGAGGUCCUCGAUGUCGGCACGCACCUGAACUACCGCAAACGGCACUGUGGGGUUGGAGUAGACACCAACAGACGAUGCUCGCAGCACCCUGCUAGCAUCGUUCCCCGAGCAUUCGGUCGAGCACAUGGUGGGCGCCGGCGUGUCAAGCUGAAAGGACGUCGAAUGGUUGCAGCAGAGGAGGGGUGAGCCGUCGGGGAUGGCUCUGAUGGUGACAUUACGGACGUAACCCUGCUUCCGGUGCCGUGGUCAGGAUCGGACGUUGAGCAUGUGGUGGGCGUCCGGGCGGGUAAGGUUGAUGGCGUCGGCGUCGUCCGCCACGGCGCCACCGCGGCAGAGAGUUUGGUGGAGGCGUCGGUGGUGGUCAUGAACGAGAUAGGUGCUGCAGCAGGGAGGGGGAAACGGGGUCGCCGCCCGGCGUGCUCAGUUCAGUAAACUAGGCAACUAGCUCGCACCACAUCAGUUUGCCUCGCGAUAGUUUGACAAAAGUUCAGUCAGCGCUAACAGAAGAAACUUCUAUUUUUUUUCUAGAAAAAAAAGGCCAUCAUGGCUAGGACGGCCAGUGGCUGCAGAAGCGGAGGGGUCAGCCAUCGGUACUUCUUCCAGCCACGGAGUACUUCACAGUUGGUUCGGCCAUCAUCCCUCGGAUCAAAUCACCCAACUUGCGAUGCAACAAGUAUUGAGGUCUGAGUGGGGCAAUUAAGACACGCGUCUAGAGAAUAUGUAAAAAGAAAACACAAUUUUAUAAUUAAGUGUACAAAUUGCAUUGGAGCUUAGAAUUUCCAAAGCACAGAUCCAAUUCGGCUCUUGAGAGCAUAUGCCAAAUUAUAUGUGUUUAUUGUCACACCAAAAUGCUACAUGCAAAUUUUUUGUGGAAAAUCUCAAGCAUUUUGAUCUAUAUGAAAAAAAAAUCAAAUGCCAAAUGUUACCUCCAAAUGAUACACUUAAUUUUGUGUUUUUCAUCGACGAAGCACUGCUAUGCCGUUUCGAAUGAAAAUCGUUUUGAAUUUACUGUUCAUCGGGACCAUAUCCUCAGAGCCAAAACGGCCCUCCCCAAAAACAUCGAUAAAUCAUUUCACAGUCGUGAUUGCUUCUUGCUUGUAUGUGUUAUUUAUCCAUUACUUUCCUAUGCCCAUGUGUAAACUUUGUAGGAAUAGUUUGUGUGAUUCAUAUAAUUUUAGAGGGUGGAUGCUAAUGCUAAAAGUAAUCUGCAAUACAUAUAAUGCUACAUGUUAUGUUCGCUAAAUACCAUCUUUCUCACUCUAUUUUCUGCUCCUAUUCUUAGCUUCCGUGGUCAGGGAUGGUGUGUGAUUGAUCCGAUUCGUGUUCAGAUCGAGUUCAACUUAAGGGAACUAGUGAAGAAUAUGUACAAUUGUUUAUGUCAAAGUUGUGUGUCCAAUCUUGCUAAAUUUAAAAAUGUGUUAGUGUAUGUUUAUAUAUAAAUUUCAGCACGCUAUAUAAAUUUUUCCUUACCAAAUUCCACCUACCAAAGGCGCUUCACUCCCCGGCAACGGUGCCAGAAAAGAGUCUUGAUGACCCACAAGUAUAGGGGAUCUAUCGUAGUCCUUUCGAUAAGUAAGAGUGUCGAACCCAACGAGGAGAAGAAGAAAAUGAUAAGCGGUUUUCAGCAAGGUAUUCUCUGCAAGCACUGAAAUUAUAGGUAACAGAUAGUUUUGUGAUAAGAUAAUUUAUAACGAGCAACAAGUAACACAAGUAAAUAAAGUGCAGCAAGGUGGCCCAAAUCUUUUUGUAGCAAAGGACAAGCUUGGACAAACUCUUAUGUAGAGAAAAGCGCUCCCGAGGACACAUGGGAAUUAUCAUCAAGCUAGUUUUCAUCAUGUUCAUAUGAUUCGCGUUCGGUACUUUGAUAAUUUGAUAUGUGGGUGGACCGGUGCUUGGGUGCUGUCCUUACUUGGACAAGCAUCCCACUUAUGAUUAACUCCUAUUGCAAGCAUCCGAAACUACAAAAGAAGUAUUAAGGUAAACCUAACCAUAGCAUGAAACAUAUGGAUCCAAAUCAGCCCCUUACUAAGCAACGCAUAAACUAGGGUUUAAGCUUCUGUCACUCUAGCAAUCCAUCAUCUACUUAUUACUUCCCAAUGCCUUCCUCUAGGCCCAAAUAAUGGUGAAGUGUCAUGUAGUCGACGUUCACAUAACACCACUAGAGGACAGACAACAUACAUCUCAUCAAAAUAUCGAACGAAUACCAAAUUCACAUGACUACUAAUAGCAAGACUUCUCCAAUGUCCUCAGGAACAAACGUAACUACUCACAAAGCAUAUUCAUGUUCAUAAUCAGAGGAGUAUUAAUAUGCAUAAAGGAUCUGAACAUAUGAUCUUCCACCAAAUAAACCAACUAGCAUCAACUACAAGGAGUAAUCAACACUACUAGCAACCUACAGGUACCAAUCUCAGACUUAGAGACAAGACUUGGAUACAAGCGAUGAACUAGGGUUUGAGAGGAGAUGGUGUUGGUGAAGAUGUUGAUGGAGAUUGGCCCCCUCCCGAUGAGAGGAGCGUUGGUGAUGAUGAUGGCGAUGAUUUCCCCCUCCCGGAGGGAAGUGUCCCCGGCAGAACAGCUUCGCCAGAGCCCUAGAUUGGUUCCGCCAAGGUUCCGCCUCGUGGCGGCGGGGUCUCGUCCCGAAAGCUUGCUUAUGGCUUUUCUUCGGACGAAAGACUUCAUAUAGCAGAAGAUGGGCACCGGAGGGCCACCAGGGGGCCCACGAGGCAGGGGCGCGCCCCCCACCCUCGUGCUCAGGGUGUGGGUCCUCACUGGUAUUUUCUUCGCUCAGUAUUUUUUAUUAUUUUCAAAAAUAACUUCCGUGGAGUUUCAGGACUUUUGGAGUUGUGCAGAAUAGGUCUCUAAUAUUUGCUCCUUUUCCAGCCCAGAAUUCCAGCUGCCGGCAUUCUCCCUCUUUAUGUAAACCUUGUAAAAUAAGAAAGAAUAGGCAUAAGUAUUGUGACAUAAUGUGUAAUAACAGACCAUAAUGCAAUAAAUAUCAAUAUAAAAGCAUGAUGCAAAAUGGACGUAUCAACAACCUCAAGUCCACAGUAUCAAUUCUAUUGGAAAAAUUUCAACUAUUACUAUUGGAGGUUUUGAAUUUCCUCUUCCUACUGUCAAGAAGAGAUAUGAUAUUCUUAUUGUUGGGGAUGUGCAUAUCCCCGUUGCGGUAACCUAGUGUUAUUCGAAAUUUCUCCGGUGCCAUGUUAUUCGAAAAGAGUUUGUUAACAAGACUUGAUCAACCUUGUUAGUGGAUUCCUUUUGAUGAGCAUGAGAUGGAUGAAGUUAGAAAGUACAACCUUCUAUACCCUCCUUUUACUUUCUGUUAUUUAGAUUAAAUAAAGCAAACAUAGUAUUUUUCUCUCAGUUUUCUGAAUUAUCCUUGCAACAAAAAAAUACCCCGAAAAUAAAAGUUCUCCAAAUGCCCUGAAUAUGAAAUAUGAUUUUUUCUAGAAUAUUUGAGAAUAUCUGGCACUGAGAACACAUCAGGGGGAGCAAGCACCUGGCCACGAGGGUCCAGGGCGCGCCCGCUGCCUCGUGGGCCCCUGGUGGCCCCCUCCACUUAUUCCAGCAACCACACACUCCUUCUUCCUCCCAAAAAAAUCACCAACCAGCUCAAGCACGAGUUCUAGCUCAUCUUGCUGCCAUUUUCGAUCUCCUUGCUCAAAGCUCCACUCACAAAACUGCUUUGGGGAUUGUUCUUCGGUAUGUGACUCCUCCAAUGGUCCAAUUAGUUUUUGUUCUAGUGCUUUAUUCUUUGCAAAUUUUUGCUGCCUAGGUGAACCUGUUCUUGAGCUUGCAUGUCAAAUUUAUAUGGUCCCAAGUAGUUCUAAUGCAUGAUAUAGUCUCUAGGCACUUGUGGGGGUAGUUGCUAUCAAUUUUGUUGAGUUUGGUUCAGUUUUAUUUUGAGUUACUAAAAUUUUCAGAAAAUUUUCAGAGGAAGAAAUAUGUUUAGGAAAAUGUUCCAAGGUGGUUCUUCAAGGAAGCAAGGACCCAGGCCCGCAAUGCAUGAGCCGGACCAUGAACUACCAAGAGAAGCUCAAGUGCGGCCUUGUGAAUGGCCGUCAGAAGAUUUCAUGGUCCGAGCAAUAAUUAAGGAGGAAUUUGACGCAUAUGUGCGUAAUGCUGAACUCGAGGGCUUCAUGCUAGAUAAGUGCCCUCAGUAUUAUCACCUAACUGAUUCCUUUGUGAGAAGGUUCAAAUUUACAUCUUCACGUAAUUCUCACACUGUCCUAUUUGAUCUCUAUAAUAAAUCUUAUACCAUGGACUUAGAAGAUUUUAAUACUGCUUGUAUACUUCCGCAAUGGGGUAGUGCUAGUGAACCUCGCAAAUCUGAGUUGAAGGAUUUUCUUGCCAGUAUCACUGUGGGGGAAUCUAGAGAGAUAACACAAGCUACCAUAGGGAGCAUUCAUUUUCCUGCUAUACAUUAUUUUGCUCUCUUUAUAGGUAGAUGCAUUAACGGCAAGGACGAGGCAUGUCACAUGUGUGUUCCUGACCUUAGUGUUCUCAAGAGUGCCGUAUUAGGAGAUAAACAAUAUAACUUGGGGGCCAUUGUUGCACGAAGGUUGCAUAAUAAUGGUUUAAGUGGAGACUUGUUUGGUGGGAUUUAUGCAACCCGUGUGGCUAAUUUUCUUGAGAUACCCAUACAUGAAAAUGAUAUGGAAUUGCCUCCCACUUAUCUAGAUUAUGAUGCUAUGGUUCGCCAUCAGUUUAUUGAGAGGAAUGAAUAGCCUCUCCAGUACCGACUAAUGUUUGACAUGCGCCGCACUUUCCAUGUUGCUCUCCCUGCUCCUACUUUCUUUGACUUUCAGGCAAAAGGGUGAUAUAUUAUAACCAGGGAGGAGGCGAACGAGUAUAAGACGAGGACGGAGGUAGCUCGCCUCCAAGCGGCAGCUCAUGAGGCAAUAGCUGCUGCAUCUCAGUAUGACCCCAGCUACAACUUUGAUCCAUGGGCAUAGACCAACUUAGGCCAAAAUCCUAAGCUUGCGGGAGUACGUAUUUCUCACCGACAUUACAUUCAUGUUCACACACUCAUUCUAGUUGUCGGUGCUCAUACUUUUUUAUUGUAAUAUCCAUGCUAUUUUAUAUUCUUUUCUAGCCUUCUUCUUGUGUAUUUGAAAAACCUUAAGAAAAACCAAAAAAACUUAGUUGUAUCUUUUAGCUAGUUUACUUUCCAUGCCUGUAGUAGUAAUAAUUAAAAAUAAAAUACAAAAAGAUUUCUCGUUCUUCUUUUGCUUGUUGGGAGCUUUCCUGUGUAAACAGUUUUAUUUCCUUCCUUUUCUUUGGGGGUCGAGAGGAGAAGACCAUGAUGAAAAUGUUGAAGUGGCUCUUAUAUGCAUUAUUGUUGAUUUAAUCGAGAGCCCAUAUUACCUUGUCUUCUCCUGCGUAUUAAAUGCAUGCAGAUUCCAGCUUAGUCCAAUUGCACAUGCACUAUUAUUAUUAUUCACACUGUUCGGUCGUGCAAGCGAAAGGCAAUAAUGACGAUAUAUGAUAGACUGAUUGAGAUGAGAGAAGCUGUUAUGAACUCGACCUCUCUUGUUUUUGUAAAUAUAACUAGUUCAUUGUUCCUGAUUCAGCCUAUUAUGAAUGAAACAUGUUUGCAAUGACAAUUAGAGAUUAUAGUUUCUCAUGCCAUGCUUAAUUAGCUAGGAGUUUAUAAUGGUUUACCUUGCAUGCCAACAUGCUAUUAAAAUGGUUGUGAUGUGGUAUGAUAGGGUGGUAUCCUCCUUUGAAUGAUUCGAGUGACUUGACUUGGCACAUGUUCACACAUGUAGUUGAAACAAAAUCAACAUAGCCUCCACGAUAUUUAUAUUCAUGGUGGAUUAUAUCCUACUCAUGCUUGCACUCAAUGUUUAUUAGUUUUAAUGCAUGUUUAUGACUAUUGUCGCUCUCUAGUUGGUCGCUUCCCAGUCUUUUUUCUAGCCUUCACUUGUACUAAGCGGGAAUACUGCUUGUGCAUCCACUUCCAUAAACCCCAAAGUUAUUCCAUAUGAGUCCACUAUACCUUCCUAUAUGUGGUAUCUACCUGCCAUUCCAAGUAAAUUUGUAUGUGCCAAACUCUAAACCUUCAAAUGAAAUUCUGUUCUGCAUGCUCGAAUAGCUCAUGUAUCAACUAGGGCUGUCUGUAUCUUCCAUGCUAGGCGGGUUAUUCUCAAGAGGAGUGGACACCGCUCCUCACGCACGAGAAAAUGGCUGGUCACCGGGAUGCCCAGUCCCAUGCUCUAAGCAAAUCAAAUCGAAAUAAUUGCAAACAAAACUCAGUGCCUAUAAAUCUAACGACACAAAAACUCUCGAACAACAUGCUUGAAUUGAUGGACAAACUGUUUCAACUUGGAGGUAUAAGUAAUGGGUGGUGCACCAUAUGCAGAAACUUCGAGAAGUAAGCAAUGAAGACACUCGGUGCAUGGGGCACCUAUGCACCAUUCUAUAGUCAAUGAUAAUGGGACCACAUAAUCACCAACCUUUUCUUAUGGAACUCUACUCUUAAGUAAGGGCACAUGGCUAAAUAUCUCUUUUGCUUACGUUUAUUACCCAUAUCCGAAACCGGUACAUAAUAUUUGUAUCAGCCAUUUUUCAUAACAAUAUAUGUAUCAACUUGAGCAUUUCUAGUGUCAAAAUAUAUAGCAAUAAGAAGUUAUGAGCUAAAAAUAACAUCCAAUUGGACAAAGUAAACCCUCUAAGUAAAAUUGGAAAAACUACAAAAUAGUGGGUGAAGAACCACUAAGGUGACAAUUAAUUGGAACACAAUGUACUGCACACAUGAGCUGCGUUAUGCAGAUGACAUGAUGUGAUUAAACCAUGAUUAUAGAGAUCUGAUAUCAGUAAACCAAAAUGUCUAUGUGCCAUUAUUUCAUCAAAAAAAAUUAUAGUCCUAUUGUCCGGUAAGAAAGUUAGUAUCCAAAUUCUGAAAGUUGUGCACAACCAUGCACAUGGAAGGAAAGAAAUAUAGGAAAUCAUAUCUCUAAGGAAUCCACCAUCCACGACCCCUAUGACAAAAACACCGGUUCAACAUGGAUCGCCUAUGCACCACGCUGAAUUUCAAAACAACGUUCAGACACGAAGGAAGAACAAGAUCCUCAAGAGAGUAUGGUACUUCUUCAACGUGUUGAAGUGCUUCACAGUUAAACCUUGUAGCUUGGCCGCUAUAUAUCUCUCCAAGGUAUAAAUCACUCAGGUUAAUAUAUAAUAAUACCAUUUUAUGUUAUGGUGUAAAAAUUACAUUGGAGUUUACAAUUUUCAAAGCUACAAAUAUAUCUUAUUGGAGGCAUGGCAGUUAAACCUUAUAGCUUGGCUGCUAUAUCUCCAUCAGUUUGCUAUCCCACUGUGAACUAUCUAGGAAUUGAUGAUGAAAAUAAUCUACAAUGCACAUACUGUUACGUGUUUUGUCUCACUAUGAUUUCUUUUGGUACUCUCAACUACAGUGUGUCAUUGAUGUGGUUUAGGCCCCAACAACUAUGAAGAGCCAUCAUAAUUGUUAAACUUGCGUGUCUCAUCUUGUUAAGUCUCAAAAUGUUCUUGUUUGUGUUUCUACGAAGGCCCUUUUUCAAAUAAUAGAGAUGUAUACUUCAUACAUUAAUACCUGAUAGGUAAAUUAAAUGUCUUGGCAUGAUAAGGACUCAUGUGCAGACUAAUUUGGAGCUAAACAUGUGUAUCGUUGUGGAUUAAGGGAUGCAAAACAAACAAACAAUCACAGAGCAUAGCAAUCCAAUUAUGUUCAAGAUGUUCCUAACAAAGUCACUUAUACCUGAUGGUUAUCUUACCCAUUUUCUACAGCAACAUUGGGAUAUCUGUGGUGGAGAGGUUGCGGUGAUUGUUCUCCAAAUUUUUUGGUGUGAAGAAAGCCCCGAGAGCAUCAAUGAGAGCAUUAUCGUCCUAAUUCGUAAAUUAAAUGUCUUGGCAUGAUAAGGACUCAUGUGCAAACUAAUUUGGAGCUAAACAUGUGUAUCGUUAUGGACUAAGGGAUGCAAAACGAACAAACAAUCACAGAGCAUAACAAUCCAAUUAUGUUCAAGAUGUUCCUAACUAAAUCACUUAGACCUGAUGGUUAUCUUACCCAUUUUCUGCAGCAACAUUGGGAUAUCUAUAGUGGAGAGGUUGCGGUGAUUGUUCUCCAAAUUUUGUGGUGUGAAGAAAGCCCCGAGAGCAUCUGAGACCAUUCUCGUCCUAAUUCCAAAGGUGAAAAAUCCCAAUUUACUUUCUUAGUUCAGGACAAUUCAGUCUUUGUAAUGUGUUGUAUAAAAUUGCCAUGAAGUUUAUUAUAACCGCCUGAAGCUUAUCGUUCCUGAGAUCAUUUCCGAGCAAUUUGCUUUUGUCACUGGCAGGCUUAUCAUUAAUAAUAUUCUCUCAUCCUAUGUAUGCCUCCACUUUAUGAAGAGGAACAAAGCAAAGAAAAAUUGAUUAUAUGAUCUCGAAUUGGAUAAUAUGAAGGCGCAUGAUUGUGUUGAGUGGGAAUAUCUAGAGGCUAUAUUGGCUAAGUUGGGGUUUGCACCAACUUGAAUAUGUCUACUUAUGAACUUGGUCUAUCCUGUUGAAUCCCGUGUUUCUUUAAUGGCAAUAAACCCGAAUCCUACCCUCAGUUGUAGUAAGCUGAGUGUGAUCCGCAGUUUCAAGCCUUCUUAAGGAAUCCGUCAAGCGGAUCCCAUUUCUCUGUACUUGUUCUUAAUAGAAGCAGAGUGCCUUUCGUACCUCCUAAAAGUAAAAGUGAGUCAGUGCAACUCAGUGGUAUUAAAGUUACUCAACUAGCACCAUUAGUAAGCCACUUGCUCUUUGCGGAUGACAACCUACUGUUUUUCAAGGCCGGUAGUGAUGGGGCUAUGGAGUUUUCUUCCUUGCUAGAGUGUUAUUGCCAAGCAACAUGACAGAGAAUAAAUUGAGCCAAAUCAUUUGUUUUCUUCGGCAAGGGAUGUCAAGAAGUUGUCAGAAAUGAGGUAAAGGGAGUCCUAGUGUUCCAAAUGAAUCUCCGUCAAAGAAAUAUUUGGGUAUGCCGUCGGAUGUUGGGAACUCCAAAAAUGGAGUUUUUAAAUACCUGGAAGAUAGGGUAUGGAACAAGGUCAGAGGAUGCAGGAAAAAAUUGCUCUCUCUGGGAGGAAAGGAAGUUCUUAUAAAAUCAAUAGCUCAAGUUGUUCCGGUUUAUUCCAUGUCCUACUUCAAGCUUCUUCGCGGUUUGGUUCAGCAUAUUAAUUCUUAUACAGAAGUUUUGGUGGGGCAGCAAGAGAGGUCAAAAGAAACCUUGUUGGGUCUCAUGGGAAGAAAUGACAAAACCGAAGUUUUUGGUCAGUUUGGGUUUAAGAGAUAUCAAACUUUUUAACCUUGCUCUAUUAGCUGGUCAGGCAUGGCUAUUCUGCAGGGCCCAAAUUCUCUUAUUGUUGGAUCCUCAAAGCUCAGUUUUCCCAUCCUCUACCAUCUUGGAAGCUCAACCGGGUAACUCUCCUUCCCAGAUAUGGGAUCUAUACUUGAUGGGAGGGUGUCUUAGUCCAAUGGCUGAUUCGUAGAAUUUGCGGUGGAGAAGCCAUGAAAGUUUGGAGUCACCAUUGGCUUCUGAGGGACUACAAUAUGAGACAGAUUAGCAACACCUCUCAUAACUUGCCUCAACUGGUGUGGCGACAGUUGUUGCUUAGACGGUGGCUUUAGUCUUACUGUUGUAUGACGUUGUAAGGUCUUGUGAGAAUAAUUAAUAAAGUGGCCGCAUGCAUCGCCCAGAUGCAGAGGCCGGGAGUCCUCCUGCUUUUCUAAAAAAAAACUGGUUAGUGAGCUGAUCCUCCCGAAAUUGGCGUCAUGGAAUGGGGAAAAGAUUCUGUAACAUUUCAUUGUUAUUGACGUUUAGGUAAUCCUAUCUAUCCCAUUAUGUACCGGCCAGAUGGAUGACUUCUAGCAUUGGAACUUUAAGAAGAAAGUGUCCUUUUUAGUCUGAUCAGCUUACUGUAUGUUAGUGUCCACUUUACGGCCUGUUUAGUGGAACAGCUGAUACUUCAAGUUCUGACAGAGAUGAGAAAUGCUGGAGCAAAAUCUGGAAGGUGCAGAUCCCGUCGAAGUUGAAAAUUUCUUUUAGCCUUUAACUAAGCAGUGCCUUCCUACGACAGACGUCUUACACCGUUGCAACAUGUCACCGGUAAACAAUUACAGACUUUGUGGGGCUGAAAUCCUUGAUGGAUUGCACCAUGUCUGAGUGUGUCUGGGCUCUUGCGGAUCAGGACUUGGUGGAAGUGAUGAAGCAAACUAGGGAACCAAAUGCAGAAUGUUGGAUCAACCAGGACUGGUUCCCCAUGACUGGUUCGCCGUGCGUCUACUGUGCUAUCAAGAGGCUGAACAACGACAAUGCAUCUAAACAAGCUCCACUUCAGUAAUCAACGACAAUGCAUCAGUCAAGUGGAUCUUGCGGAUCCCCAUGACUGGUUCGCCGUGCGUCUACUGUGCUUCCUGAGUCCUGACCAUCCGGUACGGCCGCGGGCCGCCGUUCCCAGAUAGUUUCUUGGGGCGUCACGGGUACGGGACCUACUCUUUUGCCCCCAAACACAUGUUCUGCCGGAAGGUUGUCCUGUCCCCGCACCGCCCCGGGAGCUACGGCACCGCCAUGCUGAUCCUGUAUCGACUUUUCAGCGCCCCGGCCUUCGCCACGUCGGAGGAUGGCGCGUGGAAGCUAUCGCCGUCGGAGGACGGAGUCGAGGAUGCCAUCCACCACGAUGGCCAGUUUUACUCCGUCUCCUACUCGGGCGUCGUCGAGGUGUGGCAGCGUGACGCGGAGUAAGGCGAGUACACGAGCACGGCUGUCAAGCCAAGGCUGACCAUCGAAGAAGGCAGCUCGCCCUACCCUCUCAAGUACCUGGCAGUGGCGCCGGGUGGGCGGCUGAUGGUGGUGCUCAAGUACGCCCAUGUGAUCAAGAAGCAGUACAGAUGGGACGGGUGGACGUGCUCCUUCAAGGUCCAUGUCCUCGGCGACGACGGGCAGUGGAAUGAGACAAGGGACAUGGGCGACGUCGCACUGUUUGUCGGGAUGAACAACUCGCUGUGCAUGCCGAUGAAGGGGCGCCGGGAGCUUGAGGCUGGCUGCGUCUAUUUCACCGACGACAGACUUGGGGAUGCAACGUUUCGCGUGCGUAGUGAGUUGUCCUCGCAGUCCCACAACUCUGGGGAUGAUGAUGAUGAUGAUGUUGACAUUCGUGCCGUCGGGGUGUACAGCCUCAAGGACAGCACGGUGAAGAAGAUGGAUGUGCUCGGGCAAGUUUACAGCAGGUGCAGGUUCUUGCCGUCGCCGGUGUGGAUCAUGCCUUCCAUCCCAUGAUAUAUACCAGCAAGGUUGAUCUGUUGAACUAACUGGUUCUCUGUAUGCGCAGAAUGAAUUGAUCACAUCAAUCAUUUUUAGCUGCUCAGUCAUACUAUUGGUUACAGUGAUUAAGAUGAGUGAGAAUUAACCUGUUCUGUUGGGGAGCUCGUUAAUCAGUGGCAUUUUGGGAAAGUGAAAGGGCCUUUAAUUAACAUGUUCUGUUGGGGAGCUCGUUAAUCAUAUCAUAUGCACUGUUAUGUUUGGUUCUUCAGAUUAACCAGUGGCAUUUGGGAAAGUGAAAGGGCCUUUAAAAUGUCAAACUGAACUUUUUGAUGGCAUCAUUAGUUGUUCAUGUUCCUCAUUGUCUUGCUGCAAUCCACAUUGUGGCAGUGCUCUGAAAUAACAGUCCUGAUGUGUGCUGCUUGAUAAUAAGAUAGUUAUCUUAGUUGAACCUGCAUGCGAUGUUUUGUGAUUAUAUUUGCACAAAAAUAGGCAAUCAUGGAGUUAGUGGUAAGUGCCGCUCUAAACUCGGGUCAACUACGGCAAUGGGAGUAGGAACGGAUUUCUAUUUAUAUGUACGAUAUGAGCCAGUCCUUCACAUUUCAAACAAAAAAUAUUAACCUAGACUCAAUGGAAAAAUUCCAAUUCUAUACAUGAAAUGACAUAUCUUUCAUAUAGAAAUAGAGAUACAUAUUAUCUCACUUCCUAUGAUUUUUUCAACAUGUAGACAUACGAACACAGAUGAACAAAGACAACAUCUAUGUGGAUCCACCAAAGACAAUCGCCGACCAAAUCCCGUAAGAUCUGCAGGAGAUAAACCUCCACACGCCCUCCGAUGGUGCUAGAAACACCACCAGGACGGGGGCUAGGUGGGAAGAAUCUUAUUUUAUUUUCAGAGAGCUGCCACUGCCUCGACACUCUGAGCAUGAUACAAACCCUAACAAAAUUUUAAAAAAAGAAGCAUGAAAAAAACAGAGCCCUCCUCCGGCAAGGACCGAGAUCCAUCAUGCCUUGAUGGGCCUAAGACCACGGGGGACGAGGUAGACCGGUAGCGGCGUGGACAGGAGGCAGGAGAAGCCCUGGCGCGAAUGAUUACACAGGCCUACGAGCGGCCCUGGCGUGUAGUACUCGUUCGUACCUACUCCCUCGUUUUGCUCGUUUCUAAAUAUAAGACCUUUUAUAGAUUUCAACAAAGACUACAUACAGAUGUAUGUAGACAUAUUUUAGAGUGUAGAUUCACUCGUUUUGCUCUGCAUGUAGUUUGUAUUGGAAUAUCUAAAAGGGCUUAUAUGUAGGAACAAAGGGAGUAUAUUUUUCCUUGACACGACAAAUAACACAAUGUGGUACCUUUGUCUGGGUACUGUUGCUAGUAUUAUUUCUUGCCAUGUUUCAAAUUCAAAAACUCACUAGUAUUUUUUUAUUCCCAUAUCAUGUGCAAAAUUUUCGCACAUCAAUUUCCAUGAAGUGUAUUUUUCAACAUAACGACAAUUUUUAUGAACUUGUUCUAAUAUAACAUUUUGUACAACCAUGGCAACUCUUUUUGUGCUCAGUUUUAGUACACUUGAUCUUUCAAAAAUAUAUGGUAGUUUCAUCCACUAGAGCAUGGCAACUUUACUGUUGCGUAGCAUGGACUUUCUUGAUUAUUCUUUAAGAGUGCUUUUUAGGCCUUUUUGUUUUCUCUUUUAUUUUUUGGGAGAGGCCGGAGCAUUCUCUCUCUCUCUCUCUCUCUGAAGUAUCGAAGGAAGAUAUGGAUCAGAUUUUUAUUCCUUUUCUCUCCAUUUUAUCAAUGACCAUCAGCGGAUCGACGGAUGGACGGUGUUCCUCACUAGGAUGAGUCAUGUGUGUGUGUGUGUGUGUGUUGACAGAUCUUUGGAUCGGAGUAGGCUAGUAGAUCCGGUGAACCUACCUUGUCCAGCAGCGGAUGAACUCGAGCCGGAGGCCAUCGUGACGCUAGGGCACACGGCAAUGGCAGAGAGUAGGCGACGGUGGUGGAGCUUCCCGUGAGCACCGCGCUAACCCUAGAUCGGUAGGGAUUGUAGAAGGGGAUUGUGGCAGCGAUUAACCUCGUAAGUCAUGCCCCGGCCCCCACCUCUGUUUAUAUAGCGCGGGUCACAGGGGCCCACCAACCAUGGUUUGGUUGGGCGCCCCCGAUCAGGGCGCGAGUCAGGGGCCCGUUCGACCCGUUGGGUUCGAACGGAAGAGAGAUCAACCUAACAUUCUCCCUCUUGAUCUCAACUUUACUUUUAACUUUAUACUUUCUAGUUUAUCUGUUUCAUCACAUAUUGGUACAUAGAGCAUGUUUCAUCGUCACGGCUUAAUUGCCGUUAGAAUCAUACAGCUACAACAUACGUUAUGUUCAGAAACAAAUUCUGUUCCUUUUGGGUCUAUCCAGAAAUCAUAAGGCUUUCCCUUAAACCCAUGCCGGCUAAGUGUUCCUUGAACACAUUGGGUGGUAAGCCUUUCGUUAGCGGAUCCGCAAGCAUAUCCUUUGUCCUUAUAUGCUCGAGACUUAUAGUUUGAUCCUGGAUUUUAUCUUUCACAACAUAAUACCUUAUCUCUAUUGUUUUGGCAGCAUUACUCGACUUGUUGUUGUGAGCAUAGAAUACUGCGGGCUGGUUAUCACAGUACAUCUUUAGUGGUUUGUGAAUGCAAUCUACCACUUUCAAGUCGGGUACAAAUUUCUUUAGCCAUAUCGCCUGCCCCGUGGCUUCGAAGCAUGCUAUGAAUUCUGCAUACAUCGUGGAUGAUGCAACUAUCGACUGUUUGGAGCUUUUCCACGAAAUAGCUCCCCCAGCGAGGGUGAAUAUGUAUCCUGACGUGGAUUUUCUAUCAUCUCUGUCCCCCGCAAAAUCUGCGUCUGAAUACCCUUUUAUCUCUAAGGAAUCACUUCUCCUGUAUAUUAGCAUGUAGUCCUUCGUGCCUUGCGCAUAACGCAAUGCUUUCUUUACCAUCUUCCAGUGCUCUAGGCCUGGAUUCUCUUGAUAUCUACCGAGUACCCCGGUGAUAAAAGCUAAGUCAGGGCGAGUGCACACUUGUGCAUACUGUAAGCUGCCAACUGCCGAAGCAUAUGGUACUGCUUUCAUUUGAUCGAUCUCAUACUGGUUCUUGGGACAUUGGAAUUUCCCAAAACUAUCGCCCUUGACUAUUGGAGCAGGUGUGGCUUUACUCACAUGCAUAUUAUACUUUUUAAGAACCUUUUCUAAAUAUGCUUUCUGAGAUAGUCCUAAGACUCCAUUGUUCCUAUCUCGGUGAAUUUCUAUGUCCAAAACAUAUGAUGCUUCACCAAGAUCUGUUAUGUCAAAAUUUGAGGAUAAGUAUUUCUUUGUUUCUUGUAGUAGACUAACAUCACUACUAGCAAGCAGGAUAUCAUCCACAUACAAGAUUAGGAAAAUAUAUUUCCCAUUUUUAAACAUUGCAUAAAUGCAAUUAUCCUCAAUAUUUUCUUUAAAUCCAAAACUUUUAAUCGUUUGAUUAAACUUUAGAUACCACUGCCGAGAGGCUUGUCUUAAUCCAUAAAUGGAUUUCUUCAGGCGGCAUCCCAUAUUUUCCUUGCCUUCCAUGAUAAAACCCUUGGGUUGUUUCAUGUAGACCUUUUCUUUUAAAUCACCAUUCAGAAAUGCCGUCUUAACAUCCAUUUGAUGUAACUCUAAAUCAAAAUGAGCAACUAAUGCCAUUAUGAUUCUGAAGGAAUCAUUACAUGAGACUGGAGAAAAUGUCUCAUUGUAAUCUAUCCCUUCUCUUUGUGUAAAUCCUUUUGCCACGAGUCGUGCUUUAUACUUUUCUAUAUUCCCUUUAGAGUCAUACUUAAUUUUGUAGACCCAUUUACAGCCUACUGUUUUGGCUCCUUUGGGAAUUUCCUCUAAGUCCCAAACAUCUUUGGAACUCAUUGAUUUCAUCUCGUCUUCCAUUGCCUUCAUCCACUUUGAUGAAUGAGGGCUUCUCAUGGCUUCUUCAUAUGAGGUGGGAUCUUUUUUCCAUAUGAACCAUUUCUGUGUUAUAAACUUUAAAGUCAGUAGAAAUAGCUGACUUUCUUGGUCUUGUAGACCUUCUAAGGGCCUCAGUUUCUGGCACAUUUUGUGCCUCAACUUCUGGCACUUCUUCUAAAAUUUGCUGUUGCACCUCCCUUUCAUGCUCAACAUCGGGUUCAGUCGGCUCCUGACGGACAGGUUCCGGGUCUUCCCCCAUAGCUGUCAUGGGUGGAGUUGCAACUGGUAGUGAGAAAAAAGGCUCCUGUAUCAUCGGAUUAGGUGCAUGCACCCUCUUCUCCUCAAGAUCAAUUUUCCGAGCUACCAAGCUCCCCCUCAUCAUUUCGUCCUCUAAGAAGACUGCAUGUCUCGUUUCUACAAACUUUGUAUAUCUGUCAGGGCAGUAGAAACGAAAACCUUUUGAUCUGUCUGGAUAGCCAAUAAAGUGGCAACUUACUGUUUUGGGAUCUAACUUUGCAAUGUUUGGAUUAAACAUUUUGGCCUCAGCAGGGCACCCCCACACCUUGAAGUGUUGUAGGGAGGGAACCCGUCCUGUCCAUAGCUCGUACAGUGUUUUGGGCACCGACUUGCUUGGUACUCUAUCGAGAAUGUGAAUGGUGGUUUUAAGCGCCUCCAUCCAUAAUCCCAAUGGCAAGUUGGAAUAACUCAUCAUGCUGCGCACCAUAUCCAUAAGUGUACGGUUGCGCCUUUCAGCUACUCCAUUCUUUUCUCUCAGAGUGGGAUACAUUAAAAGCACAUGAGUUAUCAUAUUUUUCUCUUGCCAUAAUUUCUCCCGCCAUACGGGAUUUUUGACAUAAUAUUAUGUCAGCUUUACCCCGUUACGCAGGUAUUUUCCCAGACUUUUUCCGCCAUGCAGGUUUUAUCAUAAUCAUCUUUUCCCGCCAUGCGGGUAAUUCCCUGUAAGGGAACAUAAAUGCCAGAAUUGGCUCUUUUGACUGCAUAUUCAAUCAUCAAAUUUAGGAAUAAAUCUGAAUGCUCUUUGACACACAUGCUUGACCCGACGUUGGUCAAAUUAAACACGCAUGUUACUUUUUUCAUCCCAAAUCAUGUUGACUGGAAAAACUUCUUCAUAGAGAGUACAUGAAAGACAUUCAUCAACCAAGACUCUGAAUGAUCUAUCUCUUUUCUUUUUAUGCCAUUCUUUAGAGAGAACAUACUCCCUCACGUUAUGACUUUUCUUGGUCAUCUUUUGGGUCACAAGUACCCAGCCAUUCGCUUUCACGAAUGAAAGCAUGCAAAACUUUUAGUCUGAGAAAACUUAGCCAAUAAUCAACAAUGAUGGGCAUAAAAAAUAACCCUACGUUGGUCUGGUUAAAAGAAAUGCACAUUAAACUUUUGAAACUUUCUUUUAUAUUCUAAAUCACCAUUGUGGCAGAAUUAGAAUAAACAUCAUCCUUAUACAUUAAUUCCAUAUCACCGUUGGGCGGAAAUGGAAAUAAUGCAUAUAACUUAUAAACAAUGUGAUGAUAGUAUUUCUAUUAAACAACUUUGCUAAGAAUUAAUCUUCACCAUCAACUUUAUUGCAGCGGGAACAAAAAAUAUACAUUUCUCUAGUUCAAGAGCAUUUCUUGAUCUUUAUCCGUUCUCUGAAAAUUGACCACUUUGAUACAAAACUUAUCAGAGAUUUAAACUUUGAACAUAAGACUCAUAGAAUGAUAGCAUUGUUAUCAUCAACGUUCGUCAGAAAAUAACAAUACCACAUUUUAACUUUAAAACAAAUAUCUUUCUUUUGUCAUAGUGGAAACUAUCUGCAUCUUAUUUCACCCACAGGGGAAAAACAUUGCUAAGAACAUUUCUUCCAAUUAAAUUUUCCCGUUGGUUCCAAUUUAAUUGGAGGAUAAAACUUUUACUUUGCAGCAGAAACUUUAUAAUAUUCUAUUCAAAAAUAAUUCUGUACUCUUUUACUCUCUAAGCAAUUUUAACCGGUUGGUUCAAAAAUGCAUUAGAGAAGCAACAAUUUAAUAUCUUACUUUAGUUCGAUUCACUUUUAAAAGAGCACCUUUAAAUUUCAAUAAUAAAAGAUGAUCAUGUUAUUAACAACGUUGGUCAUACAAAUAACAUAAUCAUAUUCAUUAAAAUAUUCACUUUAACAUGCUCUUAAAAAACUUAAUUCUUUUUGAACUUUUAUUUUCUUUGUAAAAGAGCACUAUUAAUUAUUUACACAGCGGAAAAUCAUGAAUAAAAAUUCACGAACUUUUACUCUUUAGAGAAACUUUUUCUUUGACAGAAUAAAAAAUUAUGAACUUUUUAAUUUUCUUUAUAAAAAUCAUGAACAUUUCUUUUUCUGGACAAUUUUUUUUGGAUUAAUUUGAAAAGAAAAGCUAUAGAAAAUUAGCCAGCUCCAGCCGGCCUCGGCCUGGCACGGGAGGCCCGCAGCGGCCCAAGGCCUGCUCCACCGCAAGCUCUGCCGCCCAAGCCACUGGGCUCAAGGCGUGGCUGCCAAUCGGCCCAGCUUCUGUGCCCGCGCUGCCGACGCCGGCCUAUGCCACUUUCAGCCCAAAAGACCCGUGUCCAGUUAGGGUUUUGAUCCUGGACGUCCGUGGAGAUCCGACGGCCAUCCGCGGCUUUCGCUUGGUCAAAACCAGUGCCGACCGAUCUCGAACCCUACCCCCGUUCACGUUCUCUCUUCGCGCGCCGCUCGCACCCCUCUCGCUCGCUGUCCUGACCGGGUCGGGCCACCGUGCCGCGGCACCAGGCCGGCCGCCGGCGACGAGCGCCAGCGCGCCACCCCGCCGUGCGCCUCUGUUUCCUUCCCCCAUUCUCUCUCGUCGCGCCGCAAGCCUCUGUCCUGCACGGGACUUCGCCGGCCGCGCGGAAAAACCACGCCAGCCGCCGGCGACCGCGUCGGGCCACCGCGCCAUGCGAGCCGCUCUGGCCUCCUUUCCCCCUUUCCUCCCUUUACCCCCUCCUUCUCUGUGACAGAGAGAGCGAGAGAGAAACGCGACCAAGCUGUGUAGCGGGGUUGGGGCUCCACCGGCCGCUAGCGACGGCGUGAAGCCACCGCACCGCGCGAGCCGCGCGCGAGCCCCCUUCUCUUUCCCCCCACUGUCCUUUUCCACCGCCCGCUCCUCCUCGCAGUAAAUGACGACGGCGGAGCUUCGAGCGGCGGUGCCAUUGCCAUUCCCUUCGCCGGCUGCGCGUUCCCGUCUGUGGUGAGCGCGCCGCCGUCGAACGGAUCGGCCGCGGUACACUUUGCCCCUUGCGGGGUUGUUCUUCGUCCGAACGGCUCGGCUUGCCGAUGCCCGUUCGGAUCGAGAGGAACUGGCGCGGCCGGUGUGGCGGCGCACUUUGCCGGCGAGCCCGAGGGCCUCUUCCGGUGAUCUUUGUGCUGUUCUUUUUGUUUGCUUUUCUCUGCCCAGAUAGGGUUCUUUGGGGAGGGAAAAACUUGUUGGAAAUAUGCCCUAGAGGCAAUAAUAAAUGGUUAUUAUUAUAUUUCUUUGUUCAUGAUAAUUGUCUAUUGUUCAUGCUAUAAUUGUGUUAUCCGGAAAUCGUAAUACAUGUGUGAAUACAUAGACCACAACGUGUCCCUAGUAAGCCUCUAGUUGACUAGCUCGUUGAUCAACAGAUAGUCAUGGUUUCCUGACUAUGGACAUUGGAUGUCAUUGAUAAUGAGAUCACAUCAUUAGGAGAAUGAUGUGAUGGACAAGACCCAAUCCUAAGCAUAGCUCAAAGAUCGUGUAGUUCGUUUGCUAGAGCUUUUCCAAUGUCAAGUAUCUUUUCCUUAGACCAUGAGAUCGUGUAACUCCCGGAUACCGUAGGAGUGCUUUGGGUGUGCCAAACGUCACAACGUAACUGGGUGACUAUAAAGGUACACUACGGGUAUCUCCGAAAGUGUCUGUUGGGUUGGCACGGAUCGAGACUGGGAUUUGUCACUCCGUAUGACGGAGAGGUAUCUCUGGGCCCACUCGGUAAUGCAUCAUCAUAAUGAGCUCAAUGUGACUAAGGCGUUAGUCACGGGAUCAUGCAUUGCGGUACGAGUAAAGAGACUUGCCGGUAACAAGAUUGAACAAGGUAUUGGGAUACCGACGAUCGAAUCUCGGGCAAGUAACAUACCGAUUGACAAAGGGAAUUGUAUAGGGGAUUGAUUGAAUCCUCGACAUUGUGGUUCAUCCGAUGAGAUCAUCGUGUGAACAUGUGGGAGCCAACAUGGGUAUCCAGACCCCGCUGUUGGUUAUUGACCGGAGAGGCGUCUCGGUCAUGUUUGCAUGUUUCCCGAACCCGUAGGGUCUACACACUUAAGGUUCGGUGACGCUAGGGUUGUAGAGAUAUGAGUAUGCGGAAACCCGAAAGUUGUUCGGAGUCCCGGAUGAGAUCCCGGACGUCACGACGAGUUCCGGAAUGGUCCAGAGGUGAAGAAUUAUAUAUAGGAAGUCAAGUUUCGGCCACCGGGAAAGUUUCGGGGGUCACCGGUAUUGUACCGGGACCACCGGAAGGGUCCCGGGGGUCCACCGGGUGGGGCCACCUAUCCCGGAGGGCCCCAUGGGCUGAAGUGGGAAGGGAACCAGCCCUUAGUGGGCUGGGACGCCCCCCAUGGGCCUCCCCCCUGCGCCUAGGGUUGGAAACCCUAGGGUGGGGGGGCGCCCCACUUGCCUUGGGGGGCAAGUCUCCCCCCUGGCCGCCGCCCGCCAUGCAGAUGGGUUCCUGGCCGGCGCCCCCCUCCCAGGGGGCCUAUAUAAAGGGGGGAGGGAGGGCAGCAGUACUACAGCCUUUGGCGCCUCCCUCCUCCCCUGCAGCACCUCUCCCUCUCGCAGAAGCUCGGCGAAGCCCUGCCGAGACCCCGCUACAUCCACCACCACGCCGUCGUGCUGCUGGAUCUCCAUCAACCUCUCAUUCCCCCUUGCUGGAUCAAGAAGGAGGAGACGUCUCUGCUCCGUACGUGUGUUGAACGCGGAGGUGCCGUCCGUUCGGCACUCGGUCAUUGGUGAUUUGGAUCACGGCGAGUACGACUCCAUCAACCCCGUUCAUUGGAACGCUUCCGCUCGCGAUCUACAAGGGUAUGUAGAUGCACUCCUUUCCCCUUGUUGCUAGUAUACUCCAUAGAUGGAUCUUGGUGAGCGUAGGAAAAUUUUAAAAUUCUGCUACGAUCCCCAACAGUGGCAUCAUGAGCCAGGCCUAUGCGUAGUUACUAUGCACGAGUAGAACACAAAGCAGUUGUGGGCGUAGAUGUUGCCAAUUCUUCUUGCCGCUACUAGUCUUAUCUUGUUUCGGCGGUAUUGUGGGAUGAAGCGGCCCGGACCGACCUUACAUGUACGCUUACGUGAGACAGGUUCCACCGACUGACAUGCACUAGUUGCAUAAGGUGGCUAGCGGGUGUCUGUCUCUCCUACUUUAGUCGGAAUGGACUCGAUGAAAAGGGUCCUUAUGAAGGGAUAGAAAUUGGCAUAUCACGUUGUGGUCAUACGUAGGUAAGAAACGUUCUUGCUAGAAACCUACAAGCCACAUAAAAACUUGCAACAACAAUUAGAGGACAUCUAACUUGUUUUUGCAGCAUGUGCUAUGUGAUGUGAUAUGGCCAGAAGAUGUGAUGAAUGAUAUAUGUGAUGUAUGAGAUUGAUCAUAUUCUUGUAAUAGGAAUCACGACUUGCAUGUCGAUGAGUAUGACAACCGGCAGGAGCCAUAGGAGUUGUCUUUAUUAUUUUGUAUGACCUGCGUGUCAUUGAAUAACGCCAUGUAAAUUACUUUACUUUAUUGCUAAACAUGUUAGCCGUAGAAGUAGAAGUAAUCGUUGGCGUGACAACUUCAUGAAGACACAAUGAUGGAGAUCAUGAUGAUGGAGAUCAUGGGGUCAUGCCGGUGACGAAGAUGAUCAUGGUGCCCCGAAGAUGGAGAUCAAAGGUGCAAAAUGAUAUUGGCCAUAUCAUGUCACUAUUUGAUUGCAUGUGAUGUUUAUCAUGUUUUGCAUCUUAUUUACUUAGUACGACGGUAGUAAGUAAGAUGAUCCCUUAUAAUAAUUUCAAGAAAGUGUUCACCCUAACUUUGCACCGUUGCGAAGGUUCGUUGUUUCGAAGCACCACGUGAUGAUCGGGUGUGAUAGAUUCUAACGUUCGCAUACAACGGGUGUUGACGAGCCUAGCAUGUACAGACAUGGCCUCGGAACACACGCAAUACACUUAGGUUGACUUAACGAGCCUAGCAUGUACAGACAUGGCCUCGGAACACGGAGGACCGAAAGGUCGAGCAUGAGUCGUAUAGAAGAUACGAUCAACAUGGAGAUGUUCACCGAUCUUGACUAGUCCGUCUCACGUGAUGAUCGGACACGGCCUAGUUAACUCGGAUCAUGUUUCACUUAGAUGACUAGAGGGAUGUCUAUCUGAGUGGGAGUUCAUUGAGUAAUUUGAGUAGAUGAACUUAAUUAUCAUGAACUUAGUCUAAAAUCUUCACAAUAUGUCUUGUAGAUCAAAUGGCCCACGUUGUCCUCAACAUCAACGCGUUCCUAGAGAAAACCAAGCUGAAAGAUGAUGGCAGCAACUAUACGGACUGGGUCCGGAACCUGAGGAUCAUCCUCAUAGCUGCCAAGAAAGAUUAUGUCCUAGAAGCACCGCUAGGUGAAGCACCAAUCCCAGAGAACCAAGACGUUAUGAACGCUUGGCAAUCACGUGCAGAUGAUUACUCCCUUGUUCAGUGCGGCAUGCUUUACAGCUUAGAACCGGGGCUCCAAAAGCGUUUUGAGAAGCAUGGAGCAUAUGAGAUGUUCGAAGAGCUGAAAAUGGUUUUCCAAGCUCAUGCCCGGGUCGAGAGAUAUGAAGUCUCCGACAAGUUCUUCAACUGUAAAAUGGAGGAGAAUAGUUCUGUAAGUGAGCACAUACUCAGAAUGUCUGGGUUGCACAACCGCUUGUCUCAGCUGGGAGUUAAUCUCCCGGAUGACGCGGUCAUUGACAGAAUCCUUCAGUCGCUUCCACCAAGCUACAAGAGCUUUGUGAUGAACUUCAAUAUGCAGGGGAUGGAAAAGACCAUUCCUGAGGUAUAUUCGAUGAUGAAAUCAGCGGAGGUGGAGAUCAGAAAAGAACAUCAAGUGUUGAUGGUGAAUAAAACCACUAAGUUCAAGAAGGGCAAGGGUAAGAAGAACUUCAAGAAGGACGGCAAGGGAGUUGCCGCGCCCGGUAAGCCAGUUACUGGGAAGAAGUCAAGGAAUGGACCCAAGCCUGAGACUGAGUGCUUUUAUUGCAAGGGAAGUGGUCACUGGAAGCGGAACUGCCCCAAAUACUUAGAGGACAAGAAGGCCGGCAACACCAAAGGUAUAUGUGAUAUACAUGUAAUUGAUGUGUACCUUACCAGUACUCGUAGUAGCUCCUGGGUAUUUGAUACCGGUGCGGUUGCUCACAUUUGUAACUCAAAACAGGAACUACGGAAUAAGCAAAGACUGGCGAAGGACGAGGUGACGAUGCGCGUCGGGAAUGGUUCCAAGGUCGAUGUGAUCGCCGUCGGCACGCUACCUCUGCAUCUACCUACGGGAUUAGUUUUAAACCUCAAUAAUUGUUAUUUAGUGCCAGCUUUGAGCAUGAACAUUGUAUCUGGAUCUCGUUUAAUUCGAGAUGGCUACUCAUUUUAAAUCUGAGAAUAAUGGUUGUUCUAUUUAUAUGAGAGAUAUGUUUUAUGGUCAUGCCCCGCUGGUCAAUGGUUUAUUCUUGAUGAAUCUCGAACGUGAUGUUACACAUAUUCAUAGUGUGAAUACCAAAAGAUGUAAAGUUGAUAACGGUAGUCCCACAUACUUGUGGCACUGCCGCCUUGGUCACAUUGGUGUCAAGCGCAUGAAGAAGCUCCAUGUAGAUGGACUUUUGGAGUCUCUUGAUUACGAAUCAUUUGACACGUGUGAACCAUGCCUCAUGGGUAAGAUGACCAAGACUCCGUUCUCCGGAACAAUGGAGCGAGCAACCAACUUAUUGGAAAUCAUACAUACCGAUGUGUGCGGUCCAAUGAGUGUUGAGGCUCGCGGAGGAUAUCGUUAUGUUCUCACUCUCACUGAUGACUUAAGUAGAUAUGGGUAUGUCUACCUAAUGAAACACAAGUCUGAAACCUUUGAAAAGUUCAAGGAAUUUCAGAGUGAGGUUGAGAAUCAACGUGACAGGAAAAUAAAAUUCUUACGAUCAGAUCGUGGUGGAGAAUAUUUAAGUCACGAAUUUGGUGCGCACUUAAGGAAAUGUGGAAUCGUUUCACAACUCACGCCGCCUGGAACACCUCAGCGAAACGGUGUGUCCGAACGUCGUAAUCGCACUCUAUUGGAUAUGGUGCGAUCUAUGAUGUCUCUUACCGAUUUACCGCUCUCAUUUUGGGGCUAUGCUUUAGAGACUGCCGCAUUCACUUUAAAUAGGGCUCCGUCGAAAUCCGUUGAGACGACACCGUAUGAAUUAUGGUUUGGGAAGAAACCUAAGCUGUCGUUUCUAAAAGUUUGGGGAUGCGAUGCUUAUGUCAAGAAACUUCAACCUGAAAAGCUCGAACCCAAGUCGGAAAAAUGCGUCUUCAUAGGAUACCCCAAGGAAACUAUUGGGUAUACCUUCUACCUCAGAUCCGAAGGCAAGAUCUUUGUUGCCAAGAACGGGUCCUUUCUGGAGAAAGAGUUUCUCUCGAAAGAAUUGAGUGGGAGGAAAGUGGAACUUGAUGAGGUGAUAGUCACCCCUUCCGUACCGGAAAGUAGCGCAGCGCGGGAAGAUGUUCCUGUGGUGCCUACACCGACUGGGGAGGAAGUUAAUGAUGAUGAUCAUGAAGCUUCAGAUCAAGUUACUGCUGAACUUCGUAGGUCCACAAGGACACGUUCCGCACCAGAGUGGUACGGCAACCCUGUUCUGGAAAUCAUGUUGUUAGACAACGGUGAACCUUCGAACUAUGAAGAAGCGAUGGCGGGCCCGGAUUCCGACAAAUGGCUAGAAGCCAUGAAAUCCGAGAUAGGAUCCAUGUAUGAGAACGAAGUAUGGACUUUGACUGACUUGCCCGAUGAUCGGCGAGCCAUAGAAAAUAAAUGGAUCUUUAAGAAGAAGACAGACGCGGAUGGUAAUGUGACCAUCUAUAAGGCUCGACUUGUCGCUAAGGGUCAUCGACAAGUUCAAGGGGUUGACUACGAUGAGACUUUCUCACCCGUAGCGAAGCUGAAGUCCGUCCGAAUCAUGUUAGCAAUUGCCGCAUACUAUGAUUAUGAGAUAUGGCAGAUGGACGUCAAAACGGCAUUCCUUAACGGCUUCCUUAAGGAAGAGUUGUAUAUGAUGCAGCCGGAAGGUUUUGUCGAUCCUAAGAAUGCUAACAAAGUAUGCAAGCUCCAGCGCUCAAUCUAUGGGCUGGUGCAAGCAUCUCGGAGUUGGACCAUUCGCUUUGAUGAGAUGAUCAAAGCGUUUGGGUUUACACAGACUUAUGGAGAAGCAUGUGUUUACAAGAAAGUGAGUGGGAGCUUUGUAGCAUUUCUCUUAUUGUAUGUGGAUGACAUACUAUUGAUGGGAAAUGAUAUAGAAUUCUUGGAAAGUAUAAAGGCCUAUUUGAAUAAGUGUUUUUCAAUGAAGGACCUUGGAGAAGCUGCUUAUAUAUUAGGCAUCAAGAUCUAUAGAGAUAGAUCAAGACGCCUCAUUGGUCUUUCACAGAGUACUUACCUUGACAAGAUAUUGAAGAAGUUCAAUAUGGAUCAGUCCAAGAAGGGGUUCUUGCCUGUAUUGCAAGGUGUGCAAUUGAGCACGGCUCAAUGCCCGACCACGGCAGAAGAUAGAGAAAAGAUGAGUGUCAUCCCCUAUGCCUCGGCCAUAGGGUCUAUUAUGUAUGACAUGCUGUGUACCAGACCUGAUGUAAACCUUGCCGUAAGUUUGGUAGGAAGGUACCAAAGUAAUCCCGGCAUGGAACACUGGACAGCGGUCAAGAAUAUCCUGAAGUACCUGAAGAGGACUAAGGAUAUGUUUCUCGUUUAUGGAGGUGACGAAGAGCUCGUCGUAAAGGGUUACGUCGACGCUAGCUUCGACACAGAUCUGGAUGACUCCAAGUCACAAACCGGAUACGUGUAUAUUUUGAAUGGAGGAGCAGUAAGCUGGUGCAGUUGCAAGCAAAGCGUCGUGGCGGGAUCUACAUGUGAAGCGGAGUACAUGGCAGCCUCAGAGGCAGCGCAAGAAGCAAUCUGGAUGAAGGAGUUCAUUACCGACUUAGGGGUGAUUCCCAAUGCGUCGGGCCCGAUGACCCUCUUCUGUGACAACACUGGAGCUAUUGCCCUUGCGAAGGAGCCCAGGUUUCACAGGAAGACCAGGCAUAUCAAGCGUCGCUUCAACUCCAUUCAUGAAAGUGUUUAGAAUGGAGACAUAGAUAUUUGUAAAGUACAUACGGAUCUGAAUGUAGCAGAUCCGUUGACUAAACCUCUCCCUAGAGCAAAACAUGAUCAACACCAGAACGCUAUGGGUGUUCGAUUCAUCACAAUGUAACUAGAUUAUUGACUCUAGUGCAAGUGGGAGACUGUUGGAAAUAUGCCCUAGAGGCAAUAAUAAAUGGUUAUUAUUAUAUUUCUUUGUUCAUGAUAAUUGUCUAUUGUUCAUGCUAUAAUUGUGUUAUCCGGAAAUCGUAAUACAUGUGUGAAUACAUAGACCACAACGUGUCCCUAGUAAGCCUCUAGUUGACUAGCUCGUUGAUCAACAGAUAGUCAUGGUUUCCUGACUAUGGACAUUGGAUGUCAUUGAUAACGAGAUCACAUCAUUAGGAGAAUGAUGUGAUGGACAAGACCCAAUCCUAAGCAUAGCUCAAAGAUCGUGUAGUUCGUUUGCUAGAGCUUUUCCAAUGUCAAGUAUCUUUUCCUUAGACCAUGAGAUCGUGUAACUCCCGGAUACCGUAGGAGUGCUUUGGGUGUGCCAAAUGUCACAACGUAACUGGGUGACUAUAAAGGUACACUACGGGUAUCUCCGAAAGUGUCUGUUGGGUUGGCACGGAUCGAGACUGGGAUUUGUCACUCCGUAUGACGGAGAGGUAUCUCUGGGCCCACUCGGUAAUGCAUCAUCAUAAUGAGCUCAAUGUGACUAAGGCGUUAGUCACGGGAUCAUGCAUUGCGGUACGAGUAAAGAGACUUGCCGGUAACGAGAAUGAACAAGGUAUUGGGAUACCGACGAUCGAAUCUCGGUCAAGUAACAUACCGAUUGACAAAGGGAAUUGUAUACGGGAUUGAUUGAAUCCUCGACAUCGUGGUUCAUCCGAUGAGAUCAUCGUGGAACAUGUGGGAGCCAACAUGGGUAUCCAGAUCCCGUUGUUGGUUAUUGACCGGAGAGGCGUCUCGGUCAUGUCUGCAUGUCUCCCGAACCCGUAGGGUCUACACACUUAAGGUUCGGUGACGCUAGGGUUGUAGAGAUAUGAGUAUGCGGAAACCCGAAAGUUGUUCGGAGUCCCUGAUGAGAUCCCGGACGUCACGAGGAGUUCCGGAAUGGUCCGGAGGUGAAGAAUUAUAUAUAGGAAGUCAAGUUUCGGCCACCGGGAAAGUUUCGGGGGUCACCGGUAUUGUACCGGGACCACCGGAAGGGUCCCGGGGGUCCAUCGGGUGGGGCCACCUAUCCCGGAGGGCCCCAUGGGCUGAUGUGGGAAGGGAACCAGCCCUUAGUGGGCUGGGACGCCCCCCAUGGGCCUCCCCCCUGCGCCUAGGGUUGGAAACCCUAGGGUGGGGGGGCGCCCCACAUGCCUUGGGGGGCAAGUCUCCCCCCUGGCCGCCGCCACCCAUGCAGAUGGGUUCCUAGCCGGCGCCCCCCCCCCUCCCAGGGGGCCUAUAUAAAGGGGGGAGAGAGGGCAGCAGUACUACAGCCUUUGGCGCCUCCCUCCUCCCCUGCAACACCUCUCCCUCUCGCAGAAGCUCGGCGAAGCCCUGCCGAGACCCCGCUACAUCCACCACCACGCCGUCGUGCUGCUGGAUCUCCAUCAACCUCUCAUUCCCCCUUGCUGGAUCAAGAAGGAGGAGACGUCGCUGCUCCGUACGUGUGUUGAACGCGGAGGUGCCGUCCGUUCGGCACUCGGUCAUCGGUGAUUUGGAUCACGGCGAGUACGACUCCAUCAACCCCGUUCAUUGGAACGCUUCCGCUCACAAUCUACAAGGGUAUGUAGAUGCACUCCUUUCCCCUCGUUGCUAGUAUACUCCAUAGAUGGAUCUUGGUGAGCGUAGGAAAAUUUUAAAAUUCUGCUACGAUCCCCAACAAAACUAUUGCUUUCAUUUCUUUCUACCGAAAACAACUAGCCCGAUCUGGCUGAUACCAUUGAUAGAUCUUUGGAUCGGAGUAGGCUAGUAGAUCCGGUGAACCUACCUUGUCCAGCAGCGGAUGAACUCGAGCCGGAGGCCAUAGUGAUGCUAGGGCACACGGCGAUGGCAGAGAGUAGGUGACGGUGGUGGAGCUUCCCGUGAGCACCGCGCUAACCCUAAAUCGGUAGGGAUUGUAGGAGGGGAUUGUGGCAGCGAUUAACCUCGUAAGUCGUGCCCCGGCCCCCACCUCUGUUUAUAUAGCGCGGGUCACAGGGGCCCACCAACCAUGGUUUGGUUGGGCGCCCCCGAUCAGGGCGCGAGUCAAGGGCCCGUUCGACCCGUUGGGUUUGAACGGGAGAGAGAUCAACCUAACAUGUGUGUGUGUGUGUGUCGGAGUUGCUUUUUUCAGCAUGGAUGAGAAGAUCUUUAUUGAGGAAAGGAAAGUUACGAUCUCGUUUAAAAUUUUGUAGGUUAUUACUUGAUUGAGAGGAUUGGUCGAGAAGGAAAUUAAUGUUAUGAUUCCGUUCAAAGUAUUGCAAGUUAUAACUUGUUUGAGAGGAAUCGGCUGAGCUAUGUGGGAGCGGUCGUAGUAGGGAGGGAAACCCUGGAAGCAAGGAAGCGAAUGUCCAACUCUCCUUUAGCAGUAAAGAUUUUUCAGCAAGGAUGAGAGGAUCUUUCUGAGGAUAGGAAAGUUAAGAUUCCACUCACGUUUCUGCAAGUUAUUACUUAAUUGAGAGGAAUCGUUGAGAAGGAAAGGAAAGUUAUGAUCCGUUCAGAUUUUUGCAAGUGAUUACUUGAUUGAGAGGGGCCGACUAAGAUUUGUUGAAGCGAUUGUAGUAGAGAGUGGCUAGGAAAUGAACGCCUAACUCGCCUUUAAUAGUAGAGAGAUAUGUAUAUAUCUAUAUCGAUAACAAUAUAGAAAGACACAAAGGUGCGGAUCAAAUUAAUCUCGACCAUCAAACGAUGUCAAUCCAACGAUGUAGAUUUGCUCCAAUGGUGAGUGCUCAAAAUUUUUAGCUGCAAUUAAUAUCAUACCAAAUAUAAACAUAUGUGCUAAUCACAUAAUUAAUGCAUAACUGAUAUUCUACCGAAUAUAAAUAUGCAAUUAAUUUUCGUCCUAAUAUGUUUGAGUAGUACCACAUUUUCUCCCACCCGCGCUACUACUAAGAUGUACUUGUAGUGUGGGGUAUUGGCCAUCGCUGCUGCUACUUAACAACUGUGUGGGGCCCUUAUCCAUCGCUACUGAUAAGCAUCUACCUAUAAGGUAUUUCCUAGUAGUGGUAGUCAAUGGCCUAUCUUUCUGUUGCGAUUCAAUACCGAAGCAUGGCCUGAAAUCGAGCCCCUAAACAUCAGCCAAUGCCUAGCAAUGUGGUCAUCGACCAACGUAACAACCACAAACUCCUCAUCAUCCGACGACGAAUCAUUCGAAUCGCAAAUGAAGUUCUUGAGAAAGUACUCAUCUCCACUAUCCAUUUAUACCUCGCGGGUGUGAAACGCCGAACACCUUGCGGAUGUGGUUGAAGAAGCCAGCAGGUGAAGAGCCCCGUCCGUCUCGCAGUCCAGGCAGCAGGCCUGUCGGCGUGGAGGCGACUAUGGAGCGUGGAUGCCGUGCUUGGAGCAUUGCCAGCAAGGAAGGAUGUCAGGGGCUGGCGUGGCCAUGGGGAUGCUACGGCGGCGGCGAAAACAGGUCACCAACGCCAGCAAGAGCGGCCAUCGGGUGCGAUGUGCAGCUGAGGGAGGUGUGUGGAAGCGGGCGGUGGCCUGAGCAGCGUCCAACCGGACGACGGCGGCGAGGGCUGGGUGGCCGGGUGUCUUGGCUGUGGAUGGGCCAGGGGGACAAGGGCAGGCGUCACGCGUGUCCGCUCCGACGCAACCCGGCUCAAAUUUAAGCCUGAAAUGUGUCACGGACGGACAAAAAACCGAUACUUGCGGACACGUGGCAGCUACUGGUACCACGGAGGCUAGAUAUGCCGAUUGUCGUUGCUCUGCAAGGGGGACCAGGCUGUACUCGUUGCCCACCCAAGUCUGCAGCAAGACUUCACCGACACGUGUAGGGGCAGAGUGUAAAUCAAAGGUGCAGAGGUUAUAUUUUUCUUUUAGACAAACUCGCCAAGCUUUAUUUAUAUCGCAAAAAUGUUCUCUGAUACAAAGUUAAGAUCACAAAGCCAAACAUGGCGGCCAAACCCUAGCAAGGUUGUGAGCCUCGAUGUUCGAGCUCCUAAACUCGUAGACUAUAUUACAGGAAGGAAACAAAACUACAUACUCCUUGAUUUCAUGUAUUAUUGCUCCGUACGCUGCCAAAGAUCCUUGCUCAAUUCCGUCCACCACUGUCUUACAGUCUGUCGCUAUGUGUAUAUUAUGGACAUAUAGGUCGAGAGCUAGUGAUAAAGCUUCCCGGACUGCCAUUGCUUCAAGAGUCUCUGGGUCUGAAAUAUGUCUGACCGUUAUACAUGAGGCUCCCAGGAACUUACCUCCCAAGUCACGGCUCACAACAGCAAGUGCACCAUAGCUCCCGUUUCUCAUCACUGCCGCACCAGUAUAAAACUUCGCAUGGUUCGCUGGAGGAUGAGGUGCAGAGGUUACGUAUACGGACGUCGGUGGCCUCGGGGCCUUGGGCCGGCGACGAGGUGUCGAACUAAUAGUUCGGAAAUCUUUCUCUUAUUUUCUUGGGCAUGUUGUUUGUUGAAUGGAGUGUAGCAGGAGCACCAUAAUAUAUUAUGUUUUCUAAACCUGGACGUGUUCCUUUUUUUUUAUCACCUAGGUGAAAUUUCUUUUGGUCUUUGACUAACCAGUCCCUUCCUACGAAGGAUGUCCUACACCAUCGCAACAUGUCACAGGAAGACAAUUGCGGACUUUGUGUGACUGAAAUUCCUGGAAACACUCGUUGAUGGAUUGUGCCAUGUCUGAGUGUCUGUGGGCCAAGGUUUUGGAUUUNNNNNNNNNNNNNNNNNNNNNNNNNNNNNNNNNNNNNNNNNNNNNNNNNNNNNNNNNNNNNNNNNNNNNNNNNNNNNNNNNNNNNNNNNNNNNNNNNNNNNNNNNNNNNNNNNNNNNNNNNNNNNNNNNNNNNNNNNNNNNNNNNNNNNNNNNNNNNNNNNNNNNNNNNNNNNNNNNNNNNNNNNNNNNNNNNNNNNNNNNNNNNNNNNNNAAUACCGAACAUAUUUCGGACCAAAUUUUUAACUGAAUUUUGAAUUCAAAUUAUUUUAAACUAGAUAUAUAGAUAAGGCUUGAACUAGUAUUGAGCACAAAUGUGAUCGUAUCUCAGUGGAACUUCCUUUACACACGCGCUAAGAAGGUCGUGAGUUUUGACUCUUGAUUGGUCCUUAUUUUCACACGUAUGUAUUCUGAAAAAUAUAUUAAAAAAAAGUUGUGCAAACUGCAAAUCAGGGGACUCCAACCACCACCAUGCCACAAGUAAAUUUCUUUUGAAACACAGUACAGACACAAGUGCUCAUAUAAACACGCACAUCCUACCCCUAUGAGCACCUCCGACAGACUAAGCCGGCAUAUCUCCUCCUACUGAAAGUGUAUCGCCGGAAAUCCUGAAAUAAAUCCAGGAUAAAUGCGUAUUGCCGAAAAUUCUAAAAUAAAUCCAGGAUAAAUGCGAGCACCAGGACUUGAACCCUGGUGGGCUGGGGAUACUACUGUCCACCUAACCAUCUCAACCACAGGUUGAUUCGCCACACCACAAGUAAGUUUGGUGGUUUUAUUGAGAUGCUACAGUAUUUUAGUAUACUUUGGAGUUUGGACACAAAAAUUCAAAAAAAAUCGGAAUUUUUGCUCGGGAUAAGUCUUUCUCCUGGGGCAGCAAGAAGCUCGGUAUCCGCCCUGUAACCGUUUUUCAAGGACGGUAUGCAAAACCAUGGUGGGGCUCUUGCAGACCAGGACCUAUUUUUUACGUGCUUGCAGACCAGGACUUGGUGGGAGUGAUGAAGCAAACUAGGGAACCAAACGCACAAUGUUGGAUAUUUUCCUUGAUAAAUUCUUUGCGUCACACAGACUUUGUGUUUAUCUUGGUCACUCAUUGGGCCAUAUGCAUGAUCUCCAAAGUUUGCAAGCCACGCAUAUAUUUGUCCAAAGGUACCUGUCCGACCUUGAAUCCUCCAAGCCGCAAGUACAACCUCGGCAACAAGACACUUGCUGUUACCUAUUGUAACUCAGAUCGAGACAUGUAUUUCGAAGUAGUAGUAAAUUGGGAGAGAGACGCAACACAAGGAUCGUAUCUUAACCCUAGCUCGAAUUGGCAGAAAUUAAUCCCCCACACGAUCGCCGUCCUUAACACUGGAUCCAUCCCCUCGUGACCCGAUCGAUCUGUGGGAGAGAGUACGUGCCAGCAUGCCAAGGAAGAACGCCGCCGCCGCCAAUGAAGCCCUCGCCCCCAGGUGCUGCCCCAUCCUCCUCCCGGAAUUGCUGGCCAGCAUCCACGACCGCCUGGGGCUGAUCGACCGCAUGGCCUUCGCCGCGGUCUUCGCAGCAUCCUGCGGCGCCGACCUAUUCAAGCCGUCCGCUCCGUGGCUCCUCCUCCCCGGCAAGACCACGGAGACCGCCGAGCUCUUCUCCGUCGCCGACCGGCGGGCCGCCACCGUGCGCGGUCACUUCGUCAUCCUCGGCUCCUCCCGCGGGUGGGUCGCCACGGCUGACGACCUAGCCCAGAUCUACCUCGUCAACCCGGCCACCGGCGAGCAGCACGAGCUCCCGUGCAUCACCACCAUGGGCGUCUUUCUCGAUCACAGGUGGCCCCACAACUCCUUCUCGGUGGAUCUUAUGCGCUUCCUGACCAUCCGCUACGGCCGCGGGCCGCCGUUCCCGGAUAAUUUCUUGGCGCGUUGGGGAUAUGGGACCUACUCGUUCCGUCCAGAACUGAUGUUCUACCGGAAGGUUGUCCUGUCCCCGCGCCGCCCCGGCAGCUACGGCACCGCCAUGCUGAUCCUGGGAUGACUUUUUGGCGCCCCGGCCUUCGCUACGGCGGAGGAUGGCGUGUGGAAGCUAGCGCGGUCAGAGGACGGAGUCGAGGACGCCAUCCACCACGAUGGCCAGUUUUACUCCAUCUCCUAUUCGGGCGUCGUCGAGGUGUGGCAGUGUGAGUCCGGCGAGUACACAAGCACGGCUGUCACGCCAAGGCUGUCCAUUGAAGAAGGCAGCUCGCCAUGCCCUCUCAAGUACCUGGCGGUGGCGCCGGAUGGGCGGCUGAUGGUGGUGCUCAAGUACGCCCAUGUGACGAAGAAGCAGUAUGGUCAGGGCCGGUGGACGUGCUCCUUCAAGGUCCAAGUCCUCGGUGACGACGGGCAGUGGAAUGAGACAAGGGACAUAGGUGACGUCGCGCUGUUCGUCGGGAUGAACAGUGACGUACGGCAGCCUGCGGGCGACGGUGACGAGCCAAGCCGUGGCUCGCCUCCGUCAUGAAAAGCAAUGCGUGGGAUCAGAAUCGUAUGUUCGCCGUCUCGUCGCCUGUACACAGCGCCGUGAACGAUUAGUAAAUGUUGAUCGGUGGAUGAAGUGUGACUGCAUACACAGGGCAUUUCUCCCCUUCCCCCCAACCUCCCUAUCUUUUUUUAGACAUCCCCAACCUCCCUAUCUGAAGGCGAAACCAUGGUGGCGGCAAAUAGUAUGGCGGAGUUUGCAGGCCUACGCCACAAGCCCACAACCGGCUCGAAUUUCUGCUAGAUCCGGUAAUGUCUGAACUAUAUAAAUCUGUUCGAUUCGAUCCGGACACGCCCAUGCACAAAUAUAUGUUUGACUGGUAUUCGAUUUCUUAGAUUCCCGCUGAGAGAGGUCACUACCGGCGAUGGGCAUCCAAAUCCAUUAGUUUUGAUGGCUGUUGGGCCGUCGGCACCGGCAAGAGCCGACUCGUCGUGCGCGGUUCUGGUGGGAGAACUCAGCGGCACAGCUGAGCAGAGCAAUUCCGCCCGGAAAAGGAAGCAGUCAGCAACUCAGUACGUCGAGUCCACCGGGAUGGUGAACCCAGAUGCACCAGGCUGGAGCAGAUGGUGUUUUUUCCUCUGGAUCCAUAGUUCUGAUUUUUUGUUGCCUAAGUCUGUGUCUAGUGUGCAUGAGUACUACUGGCAACAAGCUGAUCCUAUGAUUCUUUGUUUUUUGAACUGAGCCUAUAAUUUGGGUAAUAAACCAUGCAUGCAAUUAGCAUAUAUAAUGCUUCCCGGUUAGACCAUGCCAACCAUCACCGAAAUUAGAAUACCUAGUCUUCUAUGGGCAUAGCAUGCCAUCCAUAUGUAAAUGAAACAAAAAAACACGGUAUCACUGUUGCAUGAAAAAUGAUCGCAUCAUCUCAGAAACUGUUAUUUUUUUAAUUUUAAAAAAGGUCAGUGACUGCUCUUUGAUUUGUUGAAUUUGCCACAGAUUCCAGUACAGAGAGAUAAGUGCAGGUGUUGAGCAGCCAGAUCCAUUCGUUUCAAUGGUUGUUAAACCAUCGGCAUUGACACACGCCGAGAGGCAUCGUGCGCGGUUGUUCUUGGACAACUAAGCGGCACUGCUGAGCAGAGCAAUUCUGCCGGCAAGAGGAAGGAGUCUCCAACUCAGUCCGUCGAGUUCACCGGGAAGGUGAACUCAGAGGCACCAGGGUGGACCUGAAGGUAUACAUAUAAUUGAGUGUUUUUCUUCUCUGUAUAUAUGGUUCUGUUUUUUAUUCCCUAUUCCCUAUGUCGAUGGAUGUCCAGUGCACAUUAGUACUACUGCCAAGUAGUUGAUCCUCUGGCUGUGGCAGUCAUUCAUUCAUGCAAUUUAGCUUCCUAAAUGGUUUCUGCGGCAGGUCAUGUCAUCCUCGCAUGGAAUUGGCAUGCAUACUGUUUUCUGGGCAUAUCAUGUGAAUGAUUGUAAUGAAACUCGAAAGAACAUGCCCUCCAGGCUGUUGAAUAAAACAUUAUUGCAUCAUCUUAAUGAAUGUGAAAUUCACUUCAGGUUAAGAGUUGUUUUUUUAGCCAAAACCGUAGAACAAUCGUUUGUUUUACGGUAUUUUCCUUAAUUCAAUAAAAUAUUUACAAGUCCAGUUCAAUGAAUCACUCAAUACCAGUUUUGUGAAACAUAGAAAAAAUUACAAGUUCUAUGAUAUACAAGUGCUGAUCAUAUCAGCCUUAUCUUGCUUUGCUCUGAUUCUAGUUACUUCAAGUCCCUCCAGGUUAAGAGUUGGUCGCGCCCCUCCGGAUAGGGCACCUGUCCAGGCAGAGCAACUCCAUUAGAAGAAACAAUCAGGAGGUAAGCUGAUAAACCCUUGGAGAAUGUGGUGAAGCCAAGAUUAGGAUGAUUUUUGACACACUUGGGGAAGCAUACACUAGUAGAAAAAGGGUCAUCUGUCCUGGUUUCCUGCCCCUCCCGCGGAACUAGUACCACCAAUAGGUUGGUAAGGGCCUUUUGUCCCAGUUGUUGAACCGGGACUAAAGGGUCGUUACUAAUGCCCUAGCCCUUUAGUCCCGGUUCUUACACGAACCGGGACAGAUAGGCCUCCACAUGGCCGGUGCGGCGAGCCCAGGCAGGAGGGCCUUUGGUCCCGGUUGGUGGCACUAACCGGGACCAAUAGGCAUCCACGCGUCAGCAUUUCAGGGGCUGGGGUUUUUGUUUNNNNNNNNNNGUUGGUAAGGGCCUUUUGUCCCGGUUUUUGAACCGGGACUAAAGGGUCGUUACUAAUGCCCUAGCCCUUUAGUCCCGGUUCUUACACGAACCGGGACAGAUGGGCCUCCACGUGGCCGGUGCGGCGAGCCCAGGCAGGAGGGCCUUUGGUCCCGGUUGGUGGCACUAACCGGGACCAAUAGGCAUCCACGCGUCAGCAUUUCAGGGGCUGGGGUUUUUGUUUUUUUUUUUGAAAGGGGGGUUGGGGGUUUUGGGGGGUUAAUUUAGGUGUUUCAUAUAUUGUGUUAGCUAGCUAAUUAAUAGAGAGAAGUGUCCUCUCUUAUCUCCGUGCUUGGUCGACGCUACGUACUAUAUACGUAUAGAGAGGACUAGACACGCUAGCUACUAAGAAAAUGAAGGAAACAGAAGAUCGUCAUGAACAUAUGCAUACAGANNNNNNNNNNNNNNNNNNNNNNNNNNNNNNNNNNNNNNCACGCGUCAGCAUUUCAGGGGCUGGGGUUUUUGUUUUUUUUUUUUUGAAAGGGGGGGUUGGGGGUUUUGGGGGGUUAAUUUAGGUGUUUCAUAUAUUGUGUUAGCUAGCUAAUUAAUAGAGAGAAGUGUCCUCUCUUAUCUCCGUGCUUGGUCGACGCUACGUACUAUAUAUAUACGUAUAGAGAGGACUAGACACGCUAGCUAGUAAGCAAAUGAAGGAAACAGAAGAUCAUCAUGAACAUAUAUAUGCAGACAGAGAGAAGUGAUAUCGACCACCUCUCCUUCUCCGAGAGAUUGGUCGAACAACAAGUUCUCGUAUAUCUAUCCAACACUACCGGCUACAUAUAUACAAUAAUUAUCUCUUACAAUAUAAUCUCCUAAUUAUAUAUGUACACAGGGUCCACAUAGUAUUCUCCGUUUUCAGCGAUCACGUGGUCAAGGAAGAAUGCCGCCAGUUCCUCUUGAAUUGCUCGCAUACGAUCUGGUGGUAGGAGUUCAUCCCGCAUCCGAAAAAUCUAAUUUGAAGAAGGGGCCAAUACUUAUAUAUAUAUAUAUGAAUAAAUGAAACUCAACACAAAUGAUGGUAAUAAAAUAAAAUUGUGAAUAUUAUUGCUUACGCACUUCAUAUUGUUCGUCAGAGUAGCCCUGCUCACAGGUCGUGUAGCGGAUGGACUCGCAAACGUAGUAUCCAUAGUAAUUAUUCCCGGCUUCCUGCCACAACCACUUUACAAGAAAUAGAGGUCAGUCAAACUGAUAAGCAAGCAUUCUAAAUAGUAUUGAUGAAACUAGCGCUUGAAUCACUAGGAGAUGCGCGGAACAUGCUACUAUAGUACUUACUUUCGGGUGUCUAAAUUGUAGCUUCUUCGGCAGUCCCGGAGUUUUUUUGGUGAAUUUUCUCCAAACCCUACCAGACAAAGAAAACAAUUACUUGAUAUCAGGAAAUGAACAAAGUUGCUGAUAUGGUGGAUGAUCGAUUUAACUUACUUCUCGAGCAUUUGAGUCAUGUCCGCAUAGUCCUCGGGAUCUUUUCGUCUCAAGUCUAAGACGGUUACUAGUCCCUGCUCAAGCUUAAUCUCUAGGAGAAUAUAGUGGAAGCUGCGCACGCAUGCAUAAGUCGUGAAUUACAUUACUAUAACCUAGACUAAUAAGGGAAACUGAAUAUGCACAAGACAGUAACACUCACUUGAAGUUGUAACGAAAGAGUAUUAUAUCUUUGUUUUCAUUUAUUACCAACGAUCGUAGCAAGUUGGCCUCGGUAUUUUCGGCAUGAUAUUUAACCUCAGUUGCAUCUAUGAGAUUUGUGUUAAUGAAUCCAAUAUUACCGAUUUGUCUUUUCUUCAAUUCGGCGAUCUUCAAUCUGCAUAAUAUAGUGAGGAUAAUUAUAAAUACAUGCAAUGAAAGAGCUGACCUAUAUAGAGAGACUUAAUGACAGAAGUAGUACUACUUACAGACAGUAGCAAGUGAUCGUUGAUUUAUCGAGGGCCUUUUGAUUGAAAAACUGGAAGAACUCCUAAAAUGGAACAUUCAACAUUUCAAUUCCAACGAGGUCAUGCUCCUCUUUAACUCUCAGCGUCAAAGUAUUCCUCCCCCCAGACUCUCUGCAGGUUUUCAUGUACCAAUCAUGUAAUCUUCGCAUCAUUGUUGUUAGAGAUCUUUCAUCUUUGACGAGAGGCUUCUCGUAAUGGUAUUUGUGUUCGUCCACCUCCAAGAAAUCAUAAUGUACAUCGUCGGGCAGGUAAUCUCCAAGAUUGCUAUAACCGGGCGCCAUCCUCGUAUCAUUAGCGAAGAUGUUGCUAGACACCUUGAGCGGGGGGCACGAUUGGUUCGCUUGUUCGCCGAGCUGGGCAAUUUUUUUCCCAGCUCGUCGUUCUUUUAACCUUUGAUCACUGACAGUACUUCCCGACCGCUCCGUUUCGACAAAUGUCUUUGCAAUAAUGCGCUCAUAGUUGCCUUUCGGUGGAGACUUUGGUGGUUUUGUCAGGGCAGCCAGAGUGCGCUUAGCUUUCAAUGGAUCUACCUUCUCCUCCGGAGGUGGAUGUUUCUUUGCUUUCACCCCUUCAAAGAAGUUCGUCACUUCGGCUCGCACGAUCUUCGUGGUUUCCUCCUCGGUCCUCUCGUAUGGUAACUUCUCUGGAGUCUUCAAAGAAGGACCGAAUCUGUAUUGCCUCCCGCUUCUGGCUGUACUGCUAGACGCCGGCAGAGCAGACGGAGCGGCUGCGGCAGUCUUCUUUCCUUGCUUACGAGGCGGAGGAGAAGGACUACGACGUGCCGGAGCAGCCGGAGCGGCGGCGGGUCUCUUCCGCCCUUGCUGACGAGGCGGAGAAGGAGGAGGCUGGCUGCUCGGGCACGCCGGCGCAGGCGGAGAAGGAGGUGGGGUGCCGCCACGCGCCGGAGAAGGAGGCUGAGUGCCCUGAUCACUCGCCAGAGGAGGAGGAGGCGGAGUGCCGCCACGCGCCGGAGAAGGAGGCUGAGUGCCCUGAUCACUCGCCGGAGGAGGAGGCGGAGGAGGAGGCAGAGUGCCCUUACUCGUCGGAGGAGGAGGAGGAGGCGGAGGCGUCCAGUUCGGAAGGUUGAUGAGCUCCUUCCGCCAUAGGCAUGGAGUCUUCAGAGCAGAACCCAGCCGAGUCUCCCCUUCACCGAUAGGGUGGUCAAGCUGGAGGUCCUCAAAUCCCUCCGUUAUUUCGUCCACCGUCACCCUAGCAUAUCCUUCUGGAAUCGGACGACAGUGAAAAGUUGCGCCGGGUUCAGGAGGUCGAACAGAGCCGACAGCCGCCUUGACUUUGAAGUUCUGCCAUUGCGUCAUAAGGUGGCAAUGUUGAGACUCCGUGAUAGCAUCCACGGGGUAGCUAGCAGGAGUCGUCAAGACAUGCUCCGGCUGAAGUAGCUCGGUGGAAGCCACGCUGCUUCUCCGCUGAGAUGGCGGGGUAGCUUCGGGGGUAGUUUCGGCAGGUCGCUUGCUGCGAGCUACGUCUCGUUCCUCUAGCGCUUGAACCCUUUCGUGCAGCUUCUGAAUUUGGGUCUGCUCCACUUUUUUGCUCCUCUCCUGGCAUUUGUAACCGCCCGUGUCCGGAAAACCAGCCUUCCACGGAACGGAGCCUGGCGUGCCUCGUGUCCGUCCAGGGUGCUCAGGAUUCCCGAGGGCCAUUGUGAGCUCGUCGUUCUCUCUGUCUGGAACGAACGUCCCUUGCUGCGCUGCAUCGAUAUAGUGCUGAAGCCUCUUGACUGGUAUUCUCAAAAGCUCGUCCGUCCAAACGCACUUCCCUGAUACAGGGUCCAAGGUUCCGCCAGCCCCGAAGAACCAAGUCCGGCAACGGUUUGGCCAGUUCAUUGUCUCUGGUUCGAUCCCUUUAUCAAGCAGAUCAUUCUCAGCCUUGGCCCAUUUAGGCCGGGCUUUGAGGUAGCCACCUGACCCCGUGCGAUGGUGAAGCUUCUUCUUCGCAGCAUUUUUCUUGUUUGUCGCUAACAACUUCUUACUCUUUUCCGAUGUCUUGUGGGCCACAAAUGCGGGCCAGUGAUCUCUGAUCUUCUCAUAUUUGCCGAUGAAUUCUGGUGUCUCUUCUUUGUCGACAAACAUUUUCAGCUCAUUCUUCCACCUCCUGAAUAGGUCUACCAUCUUCUUAAGAGCAUGAGACUUGAUUAAUUGCUCUUUAACUGGCUUCUCCGGAUCCUCCUCUGGCGGUAGGGUGAAAUUUGCCUUCAUCUCAGUCCAAAGAUCAUCUUUCUGCAUAUCAUUGACAUAAGACACCUCAGGGUCUUCCUUCUUAGGCUUAUAGCAUUGGUGGAUGCUGAUCGGGAUCUUGUCCCUAACAAGAACCCCGCACUGAGCAGCAAAUGCUUCCUUUGUCCGGAUGGGUUCAAUCCGUUGGUUGUCGCGCGCGAUUGCUGUGAUCUCAAACCUUUCAUCCGAGCGCAACUUUCUCUUCGGGCCUCGUCUCUUUACCGAAGUUGUGCUCGAUCCAGAGGGCUAGAAAAAAGAAGAAAGACGAGAGUUAAUUAAUAUGUGUACAUACCAAAACAAUGAAUGCAUCAAUUAGCUAGUCAGCAUAGGCUUAACUAAUAUAUUUACCUUGCCGGACUCUGUUCGGUCACCGGAGCCGUCACCACGGGCUCCUUGUUGCACCAGCAUUGGGUCACCGGAGCCAGCAUAAUCAUGUCUUUCCUCCUCCACUCUUCGAUCACCGUAGCCUGCUUCUUCACCCUGUUCUUCCAGACCAUCAUUGUUGUUAAGAUACGACAAGACAUCACCUCCGGCUAAGAUUAUGUCCCCCAACACCUCUUCUGCUUCCUCGUCUCGUCCGUGCUCCAUUGUUUCUGCAAAUAUUACAACAUGGCAAUUAUUACACAAACAUGACAGCAGGUGGAUAUAUUAGUGCAAACGUAGACCUAGCUUAUUCCGGGUUUGGGGUGGCCUCGGCAACGCUUCAAGGGUAGGGGCGCGGUGGGAGGGGGUAGGAGACCGACAUCGUUUUUUCUAGGGUUUGGGUGUCCUCGAGAGUUUUGGUCGAGCGAGAGGGCCGGGGGGUGCUCCCGUGGUAUAGUUAUCACGGUCGAAGUUAUCCGGGAGGGGGUUACAUCGACAACGACGACAUACAUACAUGGGAAAAUAAUGUUAUCGGGGAGGGGGUAGGUCGAACCCCUCCCCCCUCCCUCGUGUUGAAGUUAUCGGGACACGGGGUAUAUCGACAACGACAUAUCCGAUAAAAAAUAAGAAGACGAAGAAGAAAUAAAAAGAGGAUAAGAAGAUAUUAAUAGAGGAGAAGAUUGAAGAAAAAAAGAAGAAGAAAAAAGAGGAGAAGAAGAAAGGAAUAGAGGAGCAUAUAUAAAACCUUUUCUUCUUCCUUCUAUUCCUUCUUCCUAAAUAUAUAAAAAAUUUCUAAAAAUGAAACUAACCUAAAAUGUACUAAAUCAGAG
RNAcentral lists this long non-coding RNA (52789 nucleotides) under Triticum aestivum (bread wheat). RNAcentral's name for it is "long non-coding RNA (TAES_LNC013316)". The record is from RNAcentral. Lineage: Eukaryota; Viridiplantae; Streptophyta; Magnoliopsida; Poales; Poaceae.